GGCGAGGACGGCCCCAGGUAAGCCUCUCCGCGUCCCUCUUUUCUUUUUCUUUUUCUUUUUCGAUUUUUCAUCGAUUCGCUUUCUGUUCUUCCCGAUCUGUUAGACGAAAAUCUAGAACCUCUGAGCUGGGGAACGAAGGCGGUGGGCCCGGCUGAGCUGGCAUACGCCGAUCGAUACGCGUUUCCUAUUCCUACUCGGAUAGUCGGAUACCGUCUACCGACAUACGUACGGUGGUUAUAAAUCCAAGGGGUACGGAGGGCCGUCCCUCCCCUCGCAUAACGCCGUUUGCUUUGCGUCAGAAAGCUCCCGCGAUUCGGCACACGGCAACGGUUCGGGCGCUCCGUCUCCUUCUCUCUUCCGUUAAAGUUUCCGCCUUUUGUUUCUUUCCUCGUUAGUCUCCGUUUAGUUCUAGUUAAUCUUCCCCGUUUACUAUAUUCUGCUAGUUUAAUCUCUUGUUAGUUUUCGCUUCCGUCUAGCUAGUCUUCAUCUUUCUUAUCUAGCUUUUUCGCAUCUAUUAAUUUUUCUCAUCUGCUAAUUUACAUUGCAAGUUAUUUUCUCAUCUAUUAUCCAUUGUCGAUCUAGUUAUCACCUUGCGCUAAUUAAAUUUUGUGUUCUUUAUCUCAUCUACUACUUGUUGUUAGUCUUCGUCACCUGUUAAUUUGUCUCGUCUAGUUUACAUUGCAACUUAAUCUCGGUUUAGCUUAUAGUCUAUUCAAGAAAAUUUCUUGCCUAGUUUCUACAUUUCGUUCAUUUCCCUUUCGUAUUGCUCUGUUCUUGUUUUCCGUUUCCGUGCACACGCCCAGCUUGCCGUUGAUGGCUGACGCUUGCACGCUGACCCCGGCGGCUGCUCUGCCGCCGUUGCUCCCAACCCCCCGCUUUUUUGCUACUGUUGCAGGCCGUGCGAGCGAGGGAUCGGCUUGGGCCGGCAACAAGAAGCCCGGUCGCGCGUCGGCGAGCGAGAGCUGGACCAAAGAUAAGCUACUCGCCCGUACCACCGCCUCGUCGAGCGUUCCAAGCCGCGCGUCCCUGAGCCAGGAUUGGACAAAGGACAAGGCCCAGCGGAAGGAGGAGACCGAGCGUGUGGGGCGAUCCUCGUCGAGGGAGGAUCCGGUCGGGCCCAAGAAGAGGACCUUGAGCCGAGCGCCGUCGGUGGAGGUCGAUCGGAGCGAGAAGAAGGCGAAGCCCGAGGAUGCAGUAGAGCCGGUGACGGUGCAGUACUACGCUGGCCCGGCGUUCCUGAAGUCGCCGGACCCGAGCGAGGUGCCACUCCCGACGAAGUUCCUGAAGCGGAAGACACCCAAGGCAGCUGAUGACAGGAAGUGAAGAAUCGCCGUUCACGAGAUAACAAUGUUGUGGAUAACAGAUUAACAUUCGAAGAGAGUUAUUAUCUAGUUUGCUCAGCUUCAUAGUACUCCUAUUUUAUGAUUUAUCAAGUUUUAUGAUAGAGUAGUGGAGUACCAGUAGUUAUGUAAUAUAUUAACAUUCGAUUACAAUUAAUCUAGUUUGCUAAGCUUCAUAGUACUCCUAUUUUAUGCUUUAUGAAAUACUAGUAGUUAUGUAAUAAAAGCUAAACGAUCGAUUAAUACGAAGCCAUCGCUCUGGUCACUUGUGCGUGUCUGUGUGGUUUCAUUCUUUCUGUCAGCAACAACCAGGAUUAGUCCAUCCAACACCAAACGAACGUGUAGUGGAAGGCCGUCUUGGUCUCCAUCCAAUGCGCAUCGUCUUCGCCUGCGGUCGCCAAUGUGCCAUGGCGCGGCGAUGCAGACUCACGCUCGCGCAUUGCGCUACGGCACACAAAUCGUAGCCCGGCGUGCACGCUGGCGGUCCGGGAUGCACGUGCACGGGCGCGCGCCGCUGAGAGGGAGCACGACGCCUCGCGCUGCGUGGGGGUGGUGGCGGGAGGAGUAGCAAGCGGGGACGGUCGCCAACCAGGCAACCAGCUCCGUACGUCGUCCCCUCGCGUGCGAGCCAAGGGCAUGUCACGCCCGCCCUCAACGUGUUCGACGGAUUGCCUCGUGGCUUGGACACAUCUAGCUUCGAUGAUGGCUCUUUGUGCCAUGAGCACCCAGCUGAUCCAAGGCCUUGACCAUAACAAAAAUGCUAUCCUGUACAUACUACAAAUAUAUGGGAGUGCCCAGCCCAACUUAGUGUUCCAAUGCUCUUUCUUUGAAUCCGAUCUUAGCUAUCAAUACAUCAUUCCAGUCAAUGAAAAUUUAUCCUCAGAUUGGUAAGGACAAGUGAUCUUAGCUAUCAAUACAUCAUUCCAGUCAAUGAAAAUUUAUCCUCAGAUUGGUAAGGACAAGUGUUGGACUGUGCAUAGCCUUUUAAUUGCAAGCAGUUACAUGCUUAUUAUCUAUAUAAACUUUAAAAAAAGUCAGGAAUGGUUCAUGAUUCUAUCCACAAUUCAUGAAUUUUGUCAGAACUUUUGGUCCAUGUGGGCUCCGACUUUGCUACUUUUGACCUAUAUGCCUGGCUUUGCCAAGAUAAGAGUCCAUAACAUGUUAUUGCAAUUGUGCUAGCAAACUCCAGUACUUCACUACCUUUUAUGUGCUUAUGUGUGUAUAUCAUCACAAAAUUACAAAGCAUCAUUUCUAACUGACACAAUUUGUCCUCUGUUUAAGUGCAAGGGUCUUAUAUUGGUAACUGUACUGUAAAUUUUCAUCUUAAUUACAGAUAUAUGUUGUUGGUAAGUGAUUUGAAAUUACUCAUCAGUUCGAUGGAGCAAUGUAAUGUUUACAAUUGCACUUUUCAGGCUUUCACAGCGGUGUGAUUCUUUUAUUGAUAUCUCCGUCUCAAUUUUUAUCUCACUGAUCAGCGAUAAAGAGUUGAUAAGUGAUUCUUAUAUGUAUCCUGCUUUCAAGAAUCAAGACACCAGUCACGCACGCAGGUGAGCCCAUCAAUCUAGCUUUUAUUUACAGACAUCUUUUGUGGUGUCUGUGUUUCAUGUUGGCAGGUAGGGCAGCCAAUCACGAAAUGUAUGUCCUUUCUCAAAAUAUGGGUGAAAUGGGUUCUACUGACCUACCUUUUCCAUCCAUAUUAGUAAGCUCUCUAUAACAUCCGUAAAAUUUACCAACCUAAAACCCUCGCUAAAAAUUUGUUUUCAAAAUCUUUUUACCGUUGAGCUCCCGAAAAUCAAAUCUCCCCAGCGAUUUCGCCGUCCCGGUGCCCAAAGCCGACAACUAUCAUUUUUAUCCUCUCCGUAAAUUUCGCCACGUGCCGGUCGACAAACCACCGCGCGUGCUCCGACCGCAUUCCGCAAUCUCCACCAUCCACUCUUUCUUUUUCCUCUCCGCAAGUCACGCCACGUGCCGGUCAGAAGACCGCCACGGCCGCUCCCGCAAAAUCCAUUGUAUCCCUCUCUACCUCUUUAACCUGUCAAAUCGAUUAAAUUCUACCUUUUUGCUCCGGACCAAAUGUGUUCUGUGGAUGCGUUGAGGGAGAGCAAUCGGACCAAAUGUUAAAAGAGGCUGCCAAUUCCAUGGUCCGAGCGCGAUCGAGCCUGUGGUGGAGCUUUGGGCCAGGCCCAUUGAAGAAAUGGGCCAGCGGCACUGCAGGUGUUUACAAGCAGUCGCAUGCACAUGGGCCUGAUGAUCGUAAAGGGAGCGGAGCCGCGUUUAGGUAUGAGGAAAGCGCCGUGCCAGCAUGGCUCUAGGAUGGGAGGAAACGAGACGAGCACCGGCCGCAUUGGACGCGGCUAGACGAGAUCGAGGCACCGAGGACGCCAGGCAGCUUCCGCUGAACCACCCACCGACACUGCAGCUGCAGGUCGGUUCAUCGCAUCACGGAUUUUCCACGAUCGUCCUCUGCACUGCACGAGCCGCACCAUGCAAGACAUGAUUUUCGUUGUGAUGGGGAGUUUUGAGUUUUGACUGCUGCAGCUAGACUAAUCGUACCUUGUGGGUUCAGCUCCUUGGGGGCAAAAAAAAAAAAAAGAACUUCAUGGAAUUCAGCAUGUAGAUAGUCGUGUAUGCAGAUGUAUACAAGUCCAGCCUAUCUUUAUUGUUAUUUGCAUCACACAAUGAAGCUUCAUGCUGAAUUUUAAAUCACGUCUCAAAUGUAGCCGCCAUGCAUGCAAGACUGGAACAGGAAAAAAAAAAAGGGAAACAAUUUCCUAAUGUGUUGGGUCGCCCAAUCCACAUGGCCACCAGAUUCAGAGGCCCAAGAUUCUCUCCUCUGUGGAGAGCAUACUAUACGGCGAGACAAGCAACCACCACCAACAAAGGAAUAGAGAGAUCGAUGACACAAGGAGACCUAAAGAUCGUCCAAGCACCAUCCUCAUCCUAGCUAAUCUUCAAGUAAAACCAUUGGCUUCUUCUACAUUUAAUUACAAGCAAACCAUAAAACAAAGGGGACGAAGCAGAAAAGGCUAGCAACAACUCUUGUACAGUAGCAAUAACCAAUGGAAGGAACAAGAAACACAGUGGUCCUUGCAGGACAGAGACAGCCAUCCCACCACCAAAUAAACCAUACGCCAGCACCAGCAGCGCACUGAAAAGGCGCCAAAAACACACCCCAACCACCGAUGCCACUAGGAAGGCACGAACAAGAACAACAAGCAGUCACGGGGGGUAGUGGGCUAGUAGUACUUAGUGGUGAAACUGGAGCCGUCCAACCAAUUCACAAAUCGAUUCCAUUUCCUUGCAUUGAUAGUUCAGAGAACUACUGGACAAAAGGAACUAUGCUGAAAACAAAGCGGAUGAAGGGGGAAGAGCUAGUGCAGAGCGAGGAAGGAGAGGAUGGCGGCGGCGAGGAAGGCGGCCAGCUGGGCGCCGGGGAGCAGGCCGGCCGCGGCGCCGUCCAUGGUGCCUGUCGGCCCCAGGCUGCUGCCCAUCCCCGUGCUCGUGCCGUUGAACCCGGUGCCCACGCCGGGGCUCAGUGUGCCCGUCGUCGCGCCGCCCACGGUCGUGGUGCCCGCCGUCGUCCCGGAAGCACUGCAUGAUAGCAUCGAUCCAUCAACAAGAGAAAAGCACUUCAGUUUCCUUUUUGGCACGGAUACUGAAGCUAAUACAUGAGUAAUAGAAAGAACACAGCCUGUUCCCCCGAAAGAGAAUGGCCUUUGUUUCCGUUUCUCUUGACCACGCUUGAAUUAUAAUCUAAACGAAAAUUUUUUAACUUCUUACUUUUUGCUUCUUGUUGUUCAAAUUUCUGAAGCGGAUUAUCGCAUAAGCGAGAAUUUAGAAAAAUAAGCAAAUCGUUUGGUGGAAUUCUCGCUUAUUUUCAUCGAUAAGUCGCUUAUAAGCGGAAACAAGCUACAAAUCCAGCAUGGCUUUCAGGAAAUCGACAAACAUGUGUGGUCGUUUGUAUCAGUGUAUGUUCAGUUGUCAUAGUCUGAUGAUUUUCUGUUGAGGAAAUCUAGGCUGUCAGACGAUUAUUGCACGACAAGCUGCAAAGCUUUCUCGUCGUUCUGUCCGUGUUGCUUCUAUUUUGUCUGCUAUACGUAAUACAGACACGACGCACAUGGGAGAAAGGCUGCCUAGCUCUUUUUAGUUGGGACGCAGCAAUCAACCUGAUGGUGGGAAGACAGUGGAUCCCUCCUUUUCAGAGAAUCGCUAGUAUGACAAAACCACAAGCCACAGGAAACACACAGGUAGAGCAUAAAAGCAUUUAUACUAGUUUGGAUUUCGUAUAGGCGUCAGGAAAGAAGCGAUUCAGCCGGCUUGCUCGAGACGAAUGCGUGUGGUCGGGUUCAAAUCGGUUGGGAAAGAUUUGGGAGGCAGCUUCAAGGCAAAGGGACAGGGGCAGGGAGCUGCAGAUGUCGCAACAAACCAACCAAUCGGUGAGGCUUGCGAUUGGUAAUUUGGUAUGCAAUGCAGACAAGCUGUAGACUGCCUGCUGUUUGCUUGCAAGUUAAUCACACCAGCUUCAUGUACAAAAUGCGGCGUAAACCCUGCUGCAUCUUGCUCCCAUUAGUAUUUAGUAGUAGCUUACUAGUGUCGGUGGACUAUGCGUGAUUAGCAGGAGGCUGAGAUGCGUUAGGUGUUGGGCACACUGAUUGCCUAAGUUGCCUCUGAGAAUCUCAAUUUGACCAUAUUCCCCGGUGGUAGGGACUAGGGGGCACAUAAUGAGCACAGUUUAUUCUACAAGAAUCUCCCUGAAAAAAAAAAUCAAGUGCUGCUAUGAAGCUAUGCCGGAGGAGCAGAGGAGGGCAAUGCCGUACCUGGCACUCGAAGGGAAAGUGCAGCCGGAGAAACCUGAAAAAAAGACGCAUCAAAAUGGUGUUCAUCGAUCACUUUGUUACUGACAGAAAUGAGAAUGAGAUGGCAAAACUGUGUACUGGGGUCGGUGGUGGAGAUGGUGGCGGCGCCGUCGAAGUCGCAGGUGGCGCCCUUGGCCUUGUUGUUCUGGUAGUAGCUGUUGGCGGCCCAGGAGCAGUGCGCGGCGACGGUGUUGGGGUUGUAGCACCCGCCGCCCAGCAGGAUGGCCGAGCAGUCGGCGUUGCCCUGGGGCCCGCACGAGAAGUCGAUCGCCUUCUGCAGCACCGUCGUCGGCUGGUCCGACCGGCACACGCAGAACUCUGCCAAGCCAAGGAAAAUCCAUACGCAUGCGUCGUCAGGGGAAGAGAGGACAGAGGAGGGACUGUAUUUUAUUGGGAGCAUGAUCCCAGGGGGAAUGGAACAACGAUAGUGUCUUGAAAAUAGAAAUGCAACGAAAAGAAGGAUGCAAAAGCUCCAACAAGUAAAUCUAACACCAAAAACUACAUCAGGAAAGCACCCUGAAAAGAAAACAAAAGAAAAGGGAAGAGAGAAAGAAUGCGUGAUACCUGAGGCAGCGAGCGUGGAGGACAAGAGGAGCACGGCGGCCGCAAGCGCUAACGCCACCUCCAUCGCGCAACCCACCGGAGAGGAGGAAGAAGCAGCAGCAACAGCAGCAGAACAGAGCAAGAAAGGAAACCGAGACGAGCUCAAAUCUCGCAAGCUUUGCGCCUCACUGGAGGAAGAAGAGAAUAGAAGAGAAGGACGAGCUGGUGGUGAGUUCCUUUCGGAUCCUAGCUGUAAGCUGGAACGUUCCUUGUGAGCCAGCGAGUUCAAUUACGAAGGGGAUCGAGGAGUGCCCGUGCAGCUCUGUACAUGCGACGCGCCGCCUAGUUAUAGUUAUAGACAGUGGGCUGGCUGGUGAGGUACUGGGUGAGUAGUGGCUGCAGGACAUGGGCGCCCAGCUCUGUCCUUGUUCGGUGCGCCGGCUGUUUCGGUGCGCCGGCUGUACGUCGGUUACUCCGAUCCAUCAGAAAUUCAGAAUCUUCCGUUCUGUUCGCUUCAGCUUAUUCAGCCAGCUUAUCGGCCACCAAACAGUGUUUUUCUCGCACAACAAAUCAGCCGUUUCAACUUUUCAGCCGGCUUAUAAGCUGAAGUGAACAGGCUCUUUGUUUUCUUUACUGCUUCCUCAAGUUACGACCAUCUGGCCGAUCUGGAUUUUUCUCCUGCUCCAGUAUUUUCCUCAUGUUCUCGAUCCUCAGCACCAGCAGCAGGCUCAGACUCAACGGUCGACUCGGAUCCUCGUCGACAGACGGAACGCCAGAUCUGCUUCCAACUCUGACCGUUCUAUUUCUGUCCCCUUUUCUAUUCUCCGACUCCUCCCUCUCCUCUUUUUUUUUAGGACUCAUCUUCUGGCCUCGCUCUCUCCUUCCACACUGCGCGACGAACCUUCUCUUUCGCGCUUCUUUAAUUUCUGGCCAAAAAGAUCCACAUGCUAACACCAACAUUGCUUUUCUUUUUCCAAAAAGAAAGAAAAUCUCCGUCGCUGAAAGUUUUUAGCACUUUAGAAUCCGUGCUAACGGGUAAGAGAAGGGGAAUUUGCUAUGCAAGCAAAACCGAAAGCGUUCCUGCAUCUUUUCUGAGUUGUCGUCCAUCUUGCAGUACCAAAGUUGCUGGCUUUCAAGCCUUUACCAAGUUCGGGCAGCCAAACUCCGGCGCACACACGUACACGGCACACGAAAAGAAGAAAAUCUGGUCGCACAGAGCUCCAACUCGUGCCGGUUUUAAAAAUGAGUUGAGGAUUCAUAUAUUUUUUUUACCAUAUGCUGUCAUCAUGUGUGAAAUUUGACAUCAAUAUAUUUUGUUGAUAUUUCCGGUCGAGGUUUAUGCAAGAAAAAAAAAGGAUAUAACUAGAUUUGUCUUGGAAACUACGGAUCAUAGCAAGCCAAAUUUGGUCAAAUAGCCCAAGUAAAUCGAUGCAAUUGCAAGCUUUAUCCAUGCAGGCAGUAGUCAUCAAACCAGUCCACAAAGUUAACUUUACUUUAGUGCUUUACGCACAAGUUCAACACAUUCCAUUAAACCCGUAGACACAACUAUAUCACAGUCUCGUAGAUGAUCUGAACUGGUCCGUCUCCAGCGCUUGCUUCAGCUGCAUUGGCAUCAGAGUCUCCAAGAUGAUCCGGGUCAAUGCCAGGCCGUUUUCACGGCCUCCAUACGACCAGACAACCCGUAACUAAGUGCACAAUGUUGCGUAACAAAUUCUCAUCAAGGUUAGUUAAGACACGAAACAAAUGGUGCGCUGUGUGGCACACUGGAUUGAAUACCACGGCCCAAAGGUCGGGCUCUAGGGAGGGCCCAAACUUAAACCAGGAAAAGUUCAAAUGUUUCCAGCAGGCCAAUCCUAUUGCAGUUGCAACGGACCUGGGCUUAGGGCCUCGGCCACGGAACCGAACAAGCUGAGGUUUUUUUUCUAUAAGGAUUCUUUUGAUAAGGAACAACAAGCUGAGGUUGGCUUGGCCAUCCAACUAAACGUCCCGGCAACAUUUCUGGUCGAAGUCAAGAACAGUGUUUGAGACAUCAAAUUUUAAGUAAAAGCAUCCACGAUACAAGAACCAUGCAUGCAAAUUAGUCCAAAAAAUUCUAAUGUGAUUAAUCUAAUGUAGGAAUUUGUCACUUUGGUGCGUAUACGAUCCAAAUUCUACCACGUCACGUAUUUGUUCACGACGGACAAUGUCAUGGCAGGCUGGGUUGUUGAUGCAUAGAUCAGCCAGGCUCCAAAAAUAUUUUCUAUUGCAUAUUUCAGAUUUAAGAAUGAAAAUAGUUCUAAAACGAUUUCAAAUUCUAAUGCACAUCGGUGCUUCUCGAACAUUAUAGUCACCUCCAUUACGUGAAAACCCUUAUCUUUUUAGACAAAUACCUAUCAUUCCAAAUUGAUAAACAGCCAACAGAGCAUGCCUAUUUCAAAACAUCCAACACACUAUGUAUUUCAUCUUAUUUCAGAUUUAUAAACAAACACACGUGUAUUUCAUAAUGUCCAGAGCUCUAUCGAUUGAUCAUGUAAAACCAACAAGCCGAGCUGAACAGAGCCUGACCCAUGUUUCCGACGAGUUGGGCCACGACCCAACCAGCCACCUCAUUGUCCUGUACACCAUGGACAAAUACUCGAUGUGGCGGGAUUUGGACCGUAUAAUAGGGUUAGUAUGUGAAAUGAUGGGUGUAUUACAUCAAUAGAAAACUCAACAUCAGAUCAAAUUAACUACUGCAAAUUGUAGCUGGCAAUUAGUCACUGAUACGGACACCAUGGGCAAUGACAUGGACAAAAUACCUCAUCAGCAACAGUGAACCAGUAUGAUUUUCCACACUCGUGGUCACAAAAAACGAGGGACGUCUUCAGCAAUUUGAGGCCUAAGAGCGAAAUGCAAAUUGGAGCAUCUAAAAUAAGAUAUAAUUUCACAUAAUUAUGUAACUUGAAUAUGUGCUAUUUCAUACAAAUAUUUAGAAACAUAUCGAAUAUUAAGUCUUCAAAAGGUAAACAUAGUACUAAUCUUGGCAAUUUCUGUAGCGGGAGUCACAACUCUACUGUCAUGACUGUGUCCAUCAUCAACAUUAACAUAUGGAGUUUCUCUAAAAAAUUCUAUCAAAAGCACCCUUCUUGAUAUUGAAUUGGUGCUUCUAAUCUUUGUUUCUUAUGUUUUUUUUAACCAGAAUCAUACUUCCUAUAUCUUGGGGGGCUGUAUUUUGGGGGGCCAUGAGCGAUCGAUCACCUCCCUCUUGGCCAUCAACGGCCCUGCCAAAAACUGACCAAUCGCUUGGGCUGGAUGCGAUCCAGCUUGGCUCGGUUCGGCUCAAUCUGGCUCGUUAGCCUAAUGAGCCAGGCUAAGCUCGUUAACAAAAAAUGAGCAAAAAGGCCAGUUCGGCUCGGCUCGUUAGUACCUUGAGCCAGCUCGUUAGGCUUGCAAGCUGAAUGUAAAUUUAAGAUUAACAUCUCAAUAUGUAUAAAAUAUUAAAAAUAGUAAUUUAUAAAAUUGUAAAGGUUAAAAUUCAUCAUGCAUGGAGCACCUCGGCUAGCUCGACUUCUUAUGUUGGACCUUUAGCCUUCUAGCUUCUAGCUCGUUUGGCUAGCGAUCUAGCUUGAGCCAGCUCGUUAGCAAAACGAGUAAAAUCAAUCGGCUCGUUAAAAAAUUUACCGAGCUGAGCUACGAACAAGCCAAGGUAGCUCGCGAGUCGCUGCUCGUCGUCCAGCCCUACCAGUCGCUGCCAUGCCUGUAGUUCUUUUGGAAUAGACGCAACCCAUAAAUCUCCAAACAAGCUUUUACGGUCGUUAUUCGCAAACUACGAUAUUUUUGGUAGGGAAAAGAAAAACGAAGAGAAGUGGCACGCAUGCCUAAGCAACGUAUCUAGCCUCGUAGGGUGUGUUUGGUUACUGGGUUGUAGUGGGUCGGAAUGGGUUCGACUCACAUUGUCCCGUGUUUGGUUGAAAAAGGAUGUGGGUUGGGUCCAACCCAGAUGGGAAUAUUCCCACGAGAUCCGGGUCCGCUGCAUUCCUCCAAAACGGAGGAACCACGCUGACCCAGAUGGACGCCGUGCUUCUCCAUCUCCGCGCUUGCCCGCACACCGGCGCGCUCGCCAGGCUCCGGGACGCGCACCCGGGGCUUGCCGUCGAGGAGGCAGGCGGCAUGAAGGAGGCGGCACUGGGCGUGGAGGAAGCGGGGGCCGGCGCGGGGCGGGGAUGGGGCGACGUUGGGCGGGGAGGAAGUGGCGCCGCGCGGGGAGGCGUCGCCGGGCAGGGAGAAGGCGGUGGCAGGCAGGGAUGAGGCGGGGGCCGGUACGGGGCGUGGAGGGAGGGAGCGGGCGGCCCGGCGGAGGUGGCGGUCGGCGCCGGGCGACGAGGAGGCGGCCGGGAGGGAGGGAGUGGGCGGCGCCCGGUGGAGGGAGAGAGCGCCGCCGGGCGCGGGCGGCGGAGCGAGUAGAGGAGCAGAGGAGGCAACCGGGAGGGAGCGAGCAGAGGAGGUGGAGGAUGAAGAAGAUGGCGUGGGAAAAAAAGAAAAGAAGAGGAUGACAUGUGGGUCCCGCAGCUAAUAGGUGGGCCCCACAACUAACGGUGUUAAAAGGACAUCCAUACCAACCCUCUCAACCUCCCCAACCAAACAAAAGACUGGGUCCAACUCAUCCCUCUCCAUCUCUCUCAUCCAAAUACGAGCUGGGUUCACUCCAACCCACAGAAAGGGGUUGGCUCCGACCCAACCCACCUUGUCCCAAAACCAAACGCAUCUGUAAGGUAGAUGCCAUCAAUAAUUGGCCAGAGGCUUCUUGACCAAGAUUGUGACGGCUCCAAAGGGGUGUUUGGAUACUAUGUGCUAAACUUUAGCAGUGUUACAUCGGAUAUUCGGAUGCUAAUUAGAAGGACUAAACAUGAGCUAAUUAUAAAACCAAUUGUAGAAUUCCUAUGCUAAUUCGCGAGACAAAUCUAUUAAGCCUAAUUAAUCCAUCAUUAGCAAAUGGUUACUGUAGCACAACAUUGUCAAAUUAUGGACUAAUUAGGCUUAAUAGAUUCGUCUCGCGAAUUAGACUCCAUCUGUGCAAUUAGUUUUAUAAUUAAUCUAUAUUUAAUACUCCUAAUUAGCAUCCAAACAUCCGACGUGACAGGUGCUAAACUUUAGCACGGGUAUCCAAACGCCCCAUAAACCAUUCCGUUUGGAAAACUCACAUCAAUCUCUAUCAGAGUCCCCACGAGUAGCUAGCUAGCUGUCUGAAUUUGACCAGGAACAAGCUAGGCCGAAAUUUCAGGCAUUUUAAAAAAGAAAUUUGCCCUAUGAAAUCUGCCACUUGUUCGAAGCACAGUUUAAAGUAACAACAAACAGACAAGGUUACGUAGCCACAUAGUGGUUAGGACACAGGAUAACGCAUAUCAGAUGUUAAUAUAAAGGCAAAGUACCACCAUUGACUCAAGUCAACCAUAUUAAACAUGAAGGAACAGGUGGAUAUAGACAUGAUUCUGAUUUCUGAACACCUACCCACCAUGCCUACCGCAACCACCAUAUAGAGGAGAAUCAAGAAGUGCAACUUGGACAUAUGAGACCUUGAGAAGCAGCCCCCCUCAUCCAAACCAUCUGUUCAGUUCAGCCAUGGCAACCUUCUUCACCAUCCUUCUGGUCCUAUUAUCACUGCUUCCCCUCCUCUCGAGUGCUGCGCCUCGCGACACUCUACUGCUGGGAUCCUCGCUCUCCGUGGAGAAGGACCAAACCGACGUCCUGCGCUCGCAGGAUGGCACUUUCACCUGCGGCUUCUACAGCAUCUACACCAACGCCUUCACCUUCUCCAUAUGGUACACCAACUCGGCGAACAAGACUGUCGUCUGGACUGCGGACCGUGGUCGCCCCGUGCACGCCAGGGGGGCGGCGGUCACGCUGCAGAAGGGCGGCGCCUUGGUUCUCACGGACUACGACGGUGCGGUGGUGUGGCAGGCCGAAGGCGGCGACUCAGCUGGCGUGCAGUAUGCUCAGCUCCUGGAUACUGGGAACCUUGUCAUGAAGAACUCCAGCGGCAUUGUUGUGUGGCAGAGCUUCGAUUCACCAACAGACACCCUGCUCCCCACCCAGCGCAUAACAGCUUCUACGAAGCUGGUCUCCACCACAGGACUGCAUGUCCCAGGUCACAACAUAUUUCAUUUCACAGACACAUCGAUAUUGUCCCUUAUGUAUGACGAUGCCGAUGUUCAUGAAAUAUAUUGGCCAGACCCUGACAAUGGAGAGUAUGAGAAUAACCGGAAUCGGUAUAACAAUACAAGGUUUGGGGGUCUAGAUGAUACCGGAAACUUCUUUUCGAGUGAUUUGCCCAACCAGCAAGCACUCGUUGCCUCCGAUCAAGGUCUUGGCAUCAAAAGAAGGCUCACUCUGGAUCCUGAUGGCAAUCUCCGGCUCUACAGCUUGAACAGUUCAGAUGGGAGAUGGUUGGUUUCCUGGAUUGCAAUGUCUCAGCCCUGCAAUAUUCAUGGCUUCUGUGGUCCAAAUGGGAUCUGCCACUACUUGCCUGCGCCUACAUGCUUGUGCCCACCGGGUUAUGCGAUGAGCAACCCUGGGAACUGGAGCCAAGGCUGUAGGCCUCUAGUAGACAUUAACUGUACUGUCGAGCAAGUGCAACCUGUCAAGUUCUUGCCACUUCCAGGCACCGACUAUUGGGGAUCCGAUCAGAUGCAUGUUGACCAGGUAUCCUUGCAAGCCUGCAAGAACAUAUGUAGGAGUGAUUGCACCUGCAAAGGCUUCAUGUACCAGCAAGGAUCAGGGUCAUGCUAUCCAAAGUCUUUCCUUUUCAAUGGGAAGGCAUUUACACCGCCUAGAAAGGCAUAUCGCAUCAUGUAUCUCAAGCUCCCCAUGAGUGUUAAUAUUUCAGGCAUCUCUGUUGCGCAAACUAAUGUGCUUGUUUCAAGAAAGUACCAUCCUGAUUGUAGACAGAUGAGCAAAACGCUGAUGGAACCAUUUCCGGAGGUUCACAAGGCCAGCCAGGGGGAAGCAAAAUGGUUUUACUUCUAUGGGUUUGCAGGUGCAAUUUUUGUUCUUGAAGUUUUCUCCAUUGCAUCAGUAUGGUGGUUCGUUUUGAGACGGGAGUUGGGAGCGUCAGAAAUACAAGCUGUUGAGGAAGGAUACAAGGUGCUGACUAGCAAUUUCAGAAGAUACAGCUACAAAGAGUUGGUGAAGGCAACCAGAAAUUUCAAAGAUGAGCUUGGAAGAGGAGGCUCAGGGAUCGUCUACAAGGGAAUCUUAGACGACAGUCGAGAAGUGGCUGUUAAGAUGCUGGAAAACGUAAGGCAAUGCGAGGAGGAGUUUCAAGCAGAAUUGCGCAUAAUUGGGAGAAUUAAUCAUAUGAAUCUCGUAAGGAUAUGGGGGUUUUGCUCUGAAAGCUGCCACAGGAUGUUGGUCACAGAGUAUAUUGAGAAUGGAUCAUUAGCUAACAUCCUAUCCAACGAAACCAUUCUGCUAGAGUGGAGGCAGAGGUUUAAUAUUGCAUUAGGUGUGGCGAAGGGGUUGGCUUAUCUUCACCAUGAAUGUCUUGAGUGGGUAAUCCACUGUGAUGUGAAGCCGGAGAACAUACUCUUGGAUCAGAAUCUAGAACCCAAGAUUGCCGACUUUGGGUUGGCGAAGCUGUUGAACAGAGGUGGCACCAAUCAGAAUGUGUCACGAGUGCGAGGAACCAUAGGCUACAUCGCUCCAGAGUGGAUCAGCAGUCUUAAGAUCACGGCCAAAGUUGACGUGUAUAGCUAUGGGGUUCUGCUUCUUGAGCUACUGUUGGGAAAACGAGUUCUUGACUUGGCUGUAGGUGCCGAUGAAGAGGUGCAUAAGGUGCUCAGGAAGCUUGUAGGAACGCUUGCUGAUAUGUUAGAUAGAAAGGAACCCUCUUCAAUUGCCGAGGUUGUGGAUUGCAGGCUGAACGGACAAUUCAACUACACACAGGUAAGAACACUGAUCAGGUUGUCAGUCUCAUGCUUGGAUGAAGACAGAAACAAAAGGCCAACUAUGGAAUCUAUAGUGCAAAUGCUACUUUUAGCUGAUGAUUCUCGCAGCAUAAGCUAGGUGAUGUUCUAGGUAAUAAAUUACCUGCAGGUGGAAACACUUAGCGGGAUGUGAGUUACUGUAAUGCAAUUAUCAGGUCACUUCAUUGCAUGGCUGCAUAUUUCUCAUAUAUGUAUGGUCAUUUCUUUGGUUUUCUAUCAAUUGCUGAUGUUCUGCAUGCCGGUAGCAAGGCAUAGUUGAUAAGUUCAUGCAGCUUCAGUUAGAUCUAAUUCAAAUUUCCUAGGAUAAGGAGUAAGAAAUUAUAAUCUCAUUCAACAGGGAUUUCUUUGCUCUAGCAUAAUAUUUCCAAGGAUAAGAGUUUGUUAUGUAUACCUUAUCUUUGGUUGGUUGUGCCUCUGUACAAGUGUACUGUUUGACGUGUAGUGUUGGCUUUCCUGAUGCAGCACAAAACACAUUCCUUGAUAAAUUAACAAGGAAUACAACAUUCACAAGCACUAUGAAGUGCACUGAAACAAUUCCAGUGCUAUUCAUUUCACUUUUGUGCCAAUAAAAAAGAAGGGAAAAUUCAUGAUCGAAUGUGCUAGUACAUGAGACAUGCAAAUGAAACGCAUGCAGGCAUAUAGCACAUAUAAGUGUCAGUAACCACAAGAAACUUCCAAUCACUUCAGAUGAGAUCAACAACAAUUAAUCAGAAAAAAAAUAUAUGUAGCACAACGAUAUGGAUGGAAAAUACUUGCUCUUCACCGAUCUAUUUAUGCUAUUCAAGACCAUUUUAGUAACUUGUUUUAGUGUAAACCAAUGAAGAAGAAAUGAAGGGCCAAUACAUGAAGUGAACACAAAAAGAAACAUAGGAGGAAGACUGGUUGAAUGUAUGUCCAGUCAAUUGAAACGAAAAUUUGUAUACAAUCCACAGAGGUUAAACAAGGAACACUGUGAGUUAUGAUCACAGAUAUAGGAUUGUAAUGCAAAUUAUACUUGGCAAAUAGGCUAUUUGCCAUUUCACACAGAAUCUAGUAUUAUGCCAUUUGAAGAGCAAUGGGACAUACCAUGCAAAUUGCAAAGGAACACAUCUAGUAAAUGAGUGAUUACACAACAGCACUGAGAGUAGGUUUGGACUCCCUGUUGUACAGAAAAGGGAGCCAUGCAUAGUAUAGUAUCUGCAACAACAAAAGCAUGGAAGUGAAAAUAUGUAGACGUUUAGUACCAAAACAGCCAUGUUGAUGGAAGCAAGAUACCAUCUUAUUAUAUGAAAAGGGGGAGUCAAAGUUGUUCGACAUGUAUAAUUUUUAAGAAUUCUGUAGGUGCACAAGUUGCAAUCGAAAGCUUAGGUGUAGAACUGUAGAUAUAUCACUGUAGAUUGAAAAGUAUCCAUACUAAUUAGAAUAGCAUUUAACUUAACAUAGUAUCUAUGAUGAAAACAGAUUAUUUAAGACAAAGGAGUGUAUAGAUAUGUUAGACAGAAUCAAUAUAAGGAGACAUCUUAAUGGCUCAUGAGUCGUACAAAUAUUUACAUGAUCCUUGAAACUAACAAAAAAAUGGACAUUAACACAACAACAAUAUGCACAAGCUCAUUGGUAAUGUCAAGCACAGUGUACAAAAUUGCCACUAGCUUCCUGAACUAUUUUGAACUAAACUAAGUCACUGAGAUCAAGAUUUCCAUCAUGGUCCUUACCAAAGCAGAGAGAGAAAGAUACUGUGGCUUCCACAGAGAAAUGACCUCAUCUUUACAAAGUGAGUAUUCUUAAGGGAACAUAGGACAAUGAUGCAAUGAGUGUCUCUGAUGACAGGGCAAUGAAACACCAUUCAAGUACAAAGACGUGCUGGAAUCGCAAGUUAAGCCCCCCCAUUAUUUCACGUGUGACUUCUCCAUGUUUUGUAGCUCAUUUUCUAGGACUUCUGACGUCUCCUGGUUGCCAAUGGUAAGCCAUUGCACUUCUGAACAGCCCUUCUGCCAAUUUUGAAUAUACCAAUUCUCGACCUCCAAUGCAAUUUGCCUGACCCUUCUCUGCAGAUAAACUGAUAUGGUGAGUUGGUGACACACAGCCACUGAGCCCCACAGGCAUUGUUUCCAGUCUCGCCAGUUCCAUAUGGAGAGUAGUAGCUAUGAUAACAAAAACAUCUGCAGUAGAAAAUGGUGAAUUGAACAAUUUGCCCACAUGCCCACAUCAGCAGGGCCACCUUCAAUAGCCGCCAGCUUGGUUGCCAAGUCGCAGCGCAAUCGGCCCAACUAUUCCCAACAAACACCACACCUGAAUCCUCUUCCGGCAAGCACCACAUCGACCAAACGCGACCACAGCAAUUUGUAUCUGAAUUUUGGGGCAUUGGUUCUUUGCAUCCCUGACUCGUUUCUGUCAUCUCAAGAAGCUGGCCGUCCUCUUCCUUGGAGCCCGCUGCUCUCGUCCUCUAGCCUUGCGCAUCUUCCAAUGGAGCCAGAAACCCGAAUAAUCGGAGCUGGAAAAUGCGCAACUGGGGUCGGCAUGGCGGCGGCCAGCGGGUAGGCCUGCGGUGGUUGGGCUGCGGAUUGGCGGCGCGCCCGGAGCACCGGCAGGGGCUGGAAAACGCCGGCGCGGCGAGGCAUUGCGAUGGUAAGGUCCCCGCUGGCUGCGGGUUUGCCAGCAGGUGGUGGUCGACGGCGGCGGCGAGUGCGCCGGCCGCGGUUUGCCGGUGAGCGGGGUUGGGGAGAGGCCUGCCGAAGCCAGCUGGCGGCCGCCGAGGGAUGGGGCAGGGUUGGCGGUUAUGGGUGGUGGUGGUCAGGGUGGGGCGGAGUGGUGCGCCGGCGAGGGGGGACGGCGGGCCGGCGAGAUGUGGGUGGGGAGCGACGGGGAGAAGGCGGUGGGCCCGCCGCGGGGGUGGGCGUGGACUGGCAUACCCGUGGGUGGGGAACGAAGGCGGUGGGCCCGGCUGGGGUGGGCGCUGAGCUGGCAUACGCCGAUCGAUACGCGUUUCCUAUUCCUACUCGGGUAGUCGGAUACCGUCAACCGACAUACGUACGGUGGUUAUAAAUCCAAGGGGUACGGAGGGCCGUCCCUCCCCUCGCAUAACGCCGUUUGCUUUGCGUCAGAAAGCUCCCGCGAUUCGGCACACGGCAACGGUUCGGGCGCUCCGUCUCCUUCUCUCUUCCGUUAAAGUUUCCGCCUUUUGUUUCUUUCCUCGUUAGUCUCCGUUUAGUUCUAGUUAAUCUUCCCCGUUUACUAUAUUCUGCUAGUUUAAUCUCUUGUUAGUUUUCGCUUCCGUCUAGCUAGUCUUCAUCUUUCUUAUCUAGCUUUUUCGCAUCUAUUAAUUUUUCUCAUCUGCUAAUUUACAUUGCAAGUUAUUUUCUCAUCUAUUAUCCAUUGUCGAUCUAGUUAUCACCUUGCGCUAAUUAAAUUCUGUGUUCUUUAUCUCAUCUACUACUUGUUGUUAGUCUUCGUCACCUGUUAAUUUGUCUCGUCUAGUUUACAUUGCAACUUAAUCUCGGUUUAGCUUAUAGUCUAUUCAAGAAAAUUUCUUGCCUAGUUUCUACAUUUCGUUCAUUUCCCUUUCGUAUUGCUCUGUUCUUGUUUUCCGUUUCCGUGCACACGCGCAGCUUGCCGUUGAUGGCUGACGCUUGCACGCUGACCCCGGCGGCUGCUCUGCCGCCGUUGCUCCCAACCCCCCGCUUUUUUUCUACUGUUGCAGGCCGUGCGAGCGAGGGAUCGGCUUGGGCCGGCAACAAGAAGCCCGGUCGCGCGUCGGCGAGCGAGAGCUGGACCAAAGAUAAGCUACUCGCCCGUACCACCGCCUCGUCGAGCGUUCCAAGCCGCGCGUCCCUGAGCCAGGAUUGGACAAAGGACAAGGCCCAGCGGAAGGAGGAGACCGAGCGUGUGGGGCGAUCCUCGUCGAGGGAGGAUCCGGUCGGGCCCAAGAAGAGGACCUUGAGCCGAGCGCCGUCGGUGGAGGUCGAUCGGAGCGAGAAGAAGGCGAAGCCCGAGGAUGCAGUAGAGCCGGUGACGGUGCAGUACUACGCUGGCCCGGCGUUCCUGAAGUCGCCGGACCCGAGCGAGGUGCCACUCCCGACGAAGUUCCUGAAGCGGAAGACACCCAAGGCAGCUGAUGACAGGAAGUGAAGAAUCGCCGUUCACGAGAUAACAAUGUUGUGGAUAACAGAUUAACAUUCGAAGAGAGUUAUUAUAAUUAAUCUAGUUUGCUCAGCUUCAUAGUACUCCUAUUUUAUGAUCUAUCAAGUUUUAUGAUAGAGUAGUGGAGUACCAGUAGUUAUGUAAUAAAUGCUAUACAAUCGAUUAAUACGAAGUCAUCGCUCUGGUCAGUUGUGCGUGUCUGUGUGUUUUCCAUUCUUUCUGUCAGUAAUAACAAUUGAGACAAACGUGUAGUGGAAGGCCGUCUUGGUCUCCAUCCAAUGCGCAUCGUCUUCGCCUGCGGUCGCCAAUGUGCCAUGGCGCGGCGAUGCAGACUCACGCUCGCGCAUUGCGCCGCGCCACACAAAUCGUAGCCCGGCGUGCACGCCGGCGGUCCGGGAUGUACGUGCACGGGCGCGCGCCGCUGAGAGGGAGCACGACGCCUCGCGCUGCGUGGGGGUGGCGGCGGGAGGAGUAGCAAGCAGGGACGGUCGCCAACCAGGCAAUCAGCUCCGUACCUCGUCCCCUCGCCCGCCCCGCACGAGAGACUGGAGCGUGCGAGCCAAGGGCAUGUCACGCCCGCCCUCAACGUGUUCGACGGAUUGCCUCGUCGCGCCUGGCUGGUCGCCUCGUCGCUUCCCCUCAUCGUCUCAGCCGCGCCGCGCGCGGCGGCGCCGGGGGACAAAGACCGGGCUCGUGGCACGAUGACAGCAAGCGGGCGCUACCGGUGGCCCGUCGACCCAGACUCCCAAGGUGGCGGGCGGAGCUCAACUGGCUGGCGCGUGGAAGUCCCCGGCGUUCGUCCUACCUGGUACGUACGUUUCUGCUGGCACGAAUUGGCGGCUCAAAGGGCCCGCGUGUUGGUAACUAUUGUCAGCCGGCGUUGCUCUCUAACCCCUUUACCUCGCACCGUGUUUCCAUCAUUGGCAGAGAGUGCACUGUGCCCAGUUGGUUCUUGGCCCUGCCUCGGUAAACGCAGAGAAAAUUUGGCCACAAUGCUUUGGGAUUUCAGGACUUUAAAGGAACCUAAUGUUUUACGUUCAAAAUGCUCUAUAGUGCUGCCAACAUUCGACAUUCAACAUAGUCAAUUAGUCAUUGUCUUUUCCAAACUUUGCAACUACAGGAGGAGUUUCACUUUGAAUAGGUUCAUAUUGGAUCAAAUCUACACUCAAUAGUGCUUUGCUUUGCAUACAUAUAUUCAAGUAUUAUAGUGAUGUUUUAUUGAAGAAGCAGCAAGCCAGUGACGCCCGCCCGCCUUAUUCUGCUGGUAUAACUUGUCGCGUGACCGCAACAUUGCUGCUGCCACGUAGUUGAAUUCUGUUUAUAUUACUGAGAUGCUAUAGGUCAAAUUAACAAACGGAUUAUUGCUUUGAUUUGCAUACUUUUCUAUGAAAUUUUAAUUGCAGACAAAAUACAUAGUAGAUAUGGUGCGGCUUCUAUUGGGUAAACAUCCAUUGGAGGGAAGCUGGACGGCAAUGACUUGGAGGUAGAACUGCGCUAAUGGAAGAGAGUGCUUGAGGGAGGAUGGGACUCGGGAGAGAAGAUGUUAGGCAUAUGGAUUACGUGUGGUGGUAAGACAUUUUUCUUCAAAACACUGAAAAUAAAGCUGUUUAAUUAGGUUAUUGGUUAUUUGGUUUUGAAUUUGACAGAUGUAGAUGGGAAUUAUGUUCGAUUUAUUCUUGCUUUCCUUCCCACAUUGCAUAGGUGGUCAUUCUACAGCCUUCCAGGACUCCACUAUCAAUAACUAACCAAAUCUGCUAACAACCUUAUCUAAUCAAGACUUGGACCUGAAGGCAACUAGGGAUAAGGAUCACUUUGGAUCCUGUCGUGCAGCAUCAGCUGGCUUGGACACAUCUAGCUUCGAUGAUGGCUCUUUGUGCCAUGAGCACCCAGCUGAUCCAAGGCCUUGACCAUAACAAAAAUGCUAUCCUGUACAUACUACAAAUAUAUGGGAGUGCCCAGCCCAACUUAGUGUUCCGAUGCUCUUUCUUUGAAUCCGAUCUUAGCUAUCAAUACAUCAUUUCAGUCAAUGAAAUUUUAUCCUCAAGGACAAGUGUUGGACUGUGCAUAGCCUCUUAAUUGCAAGCAGUUACAUGCUUAUUAUCUAUAUAAACUUAAAAAAAAGCCAUUAAUGGUUCAUGAUUCUGUCCACAAUUCAUGAAUUUUGUCAGAACUUUUGGUCCAUGUGGGCUCAGACUUUGCUACUUUUGACCUAUAUGCCUGGCUUUGCCAAGAUAAGAGUCCAUAACAUGUUACUGCAAUUGUGCUAGCAAACUCCAGUACUUCACUACCUUUUAUCUGCUUCUGUGUGUAUAUCUUCACAAAAUUACAAAGCAUCAUUUCUAACUGACACAAUUUGUCCUCUGUUUAAGUGCAAGGGUCUUAUAUUGGUAACUGUACUGUAAAUUUUCAUCUUGAUUACAGAUAUAUGUUGUUGGUAAGUGAUUUGAAAUUACUCGUCAGUUCGAUGGAGCAAUGUAAUAUUUGCAAUUGCACUUUUCAGGCUUUCACAGCGGUGUGAUUUCUUUUAUUGAUAUCUCCGUCUGAAUUUUUAUCUCACUGAUUAGCAAUAAAAAGUUGAUAAGUGAUUCUUAUAUGUAUCCUGCUUUCAAGAAUCAAGAUACCAGUCAGGCACGCAGGUGAGCCCAUCAAUCUAGCUUUUGUUUACAGACAUCUUUUGUGGUGUCUGUGUUUCCUGUUGGCAGGUAGGGCAGCCGAUCACGAAAUGUAUGUCCUUUCUCAAAAUAUGGGUGAAAUGGGUUCUACUGACCUACCUUUUCCAUCCAUAUUAGUCAGCUUUCACUACAUAAACUGAUAAACCACUAUUGGUAUCACAGUAAAUAAGUCAUUCUCAUCAUAAUAAAUAGGGCCCUCAGGUUAGAGGAUAACUCCUGAGACCCGCUUCUUUGGCUGGUGGAGGAGAACUUUCUUGGCUGUUCAGAAGGAAAUGCGUAAGGGCCUUGAUUCUUUGAUAAUUUUGGUCACAUGGGAGAUUUGGAAACACAAAAAUGAUUGUGUUUUCGAAAAGGUUAGGCCAACAAUUCAGGAAGUCCUUAGGGCCAUAAGCAAUGAGGGAGGCCUAUGGUGUAUGGCAGGGGCUUCCAGGCUUCAAGAGUUACUGUCCAGGUCGCCACCCCUAGGAGUGUAGGCUUUGUACUUCUGGUCGCCUCUUCAUACUUCUAGUGCAGCCUUAGUUUUGUUGCUGCUGGGGUGUGUGAGUUUGUGGGUGUGUGUGUUCUUGUACCUGGGUAGGGGCUACCCAAUCCUUUUUGUUUUCUCCUACCUUAAUGAAAUGAUGCGCAACUCUCCUGCGUAGUUCGAGAAAAAAAGUUAGAGAAUAACAAAAAAAAAGGGACUACUGAGGCCAUUGCUACGUGGGUCAUCUGAGACACUCAGAUACAACAGAAAUGGAAAUAAAAGGAAAGGAGAAUGACUUAACAAUAUUUAGUAGCUUGUUUUGCUAAGUGGUUCUGCCAUAAACGAUAAGAUCCGCUUUUGAUUGCAUUCUGGAUUUUGCUAGUUAAUGUACUGCACUCAAUGUUGCUUUAUCAUGUCAAAUCUUUUUGAGCACUGUAGUUGCUAGAGACACUGCUAUGGAAGUCAACAUUUUUUGCUUCUCUUGUCCUAAUGUGAUGCACAAAAAAGAGUUUAACUGAGACACAACAAAUUAAAAGGGGAUUUGAUGUGAAAGGGUGUCUCAGUCGGUGAAAACAAUUGUACUACUGUAACCAAAUUUGACCAUAUCUGCUAAGUUACUUCUGUAGUCUUGUUAAGGGUCAUUUUUCUCUUGUUGAUGCAUUGAGUUUGCCACUAGGAGUUAAUGCUGUACCUUUUCCUAAACUACAAUGAGGUGAAAUUUGAACAGGAAAGUAGCAAUCAGCUCUAGGAUCUGGUAUUCUAUCCUUCACAGUAAUGUAUGGGCUCAUUUUGUUGUAAUGUGUUGUCUCAGAAGCCAGCUAUUUCAAGUAGUGCUUCUCUAGUAUACAUUAUUAUUUCGGAACAUUGGGAUUUUCGCUUCUUCAGAAAUUGUUGUUUCAGAAAUUAUUAUCGUUUUUUUGUAAUUUUUUUCCAGAAAUUAAGUCAUGACUAAACUUAGUGGUUUACCUAGUGUUUUUUUUCCAAGUAAUGAUAUCCUGUAAGUUCUAAACGGUGCCUAAACUUAGUAGUUUGCCUAGUGUUUAUUUCUGCUUUUAUCCAUGCUUGUGUAUUUGAUUAGAUCGUUAUUCUAUUAUAUGCUAACAGCUUGCUCCAUCCUCAUUAUUUUUUCUUAAACGUUAAACUUCCCUUUUAAUAUUCCAUAUCAUGACUAUCAUUUAUUCCUUUUGCGUCACUGCACAGGAAUUUCUUAGUGGCAAUGAUUUUUUGUUCAGUACACUGUAACAAGGCAUAAUGGAGAGCGGUUUGACUUUUAGUUAGGUAAUAAUCUGCUUUUUGUUAUUGGUGGAUGUAUACAGACAUAAUAUGCUGUGCCACGAUCACUAGUAAAAAAAAAGAAAAUAAAUGAGUCAAAACUAGUCUGUGGAAACAUAAUGUUCCUUUAUUCUUAUUAGCCUAAAGAUGUGGAUUGACAGUCCACCAAAUCACCAACCAUUGUUUCUGCCCAUAGUUUUCUUUACAGGAAUCCUGCCCAUAGUUUCCUUGAUCACUUUCACUAUGUACUAUGCAGUUUCUUUUAUGCAAAGUGUCUUGAUACCAACUGAUCUGCCCACAAGCUGGAGUGCCAGACCCUUCAUUUUUAAGGUACAUGUAAUUUUUACAUAUGCUAUUUGAACUUUGGGCCCAGCAAGUAUUGUACUAGUUAUGUGUGUCUUUAGUCCAAAGGAAAAUGAUGAUGGGUGCUUAUCCUUAAAAUCGUGAUGUCCAUGUUAUUGGAACUUCACAAACCAGUUCCUCUAUUUUCAUUUGCCCUUUCUUUUGUCGAUUCGAAUGUAUUUUCAACUAGUAUUUUGCCACUGCGCUCAUGUUCUGUCCUUUUCUCUUCUAAGAGGAUGCUAAUGUUCUGUCUUGAUUGUACCACAUUGCAUGUUGCAAGAGCAUCAAACAGAAUAUUCUAUUUACUCCAUAUUUUGAUUUAAUUUUUUUAUUCUUUUUUAUGCACUUGGCUGUUGGACUUUCUUCAAGAGAGCAUUGGCACGAACCCAACACAUAUAAUUUUAAUCGUAACAUGUUGGAUGCAUACCUACAAGACAACAACUAAACUUUUGAUACUUUUUUUCUCCAGGAUCUGAUCAAAUGAAACUGAAAUGGUAAAGUGAGAGCCCACUGCUUCACUUUGAUCCAGCAAUUAUUUCUGGAUUAUACAAAGUAGUUGGUAGUGGAGCUAAAUAAAGUUUGAGAAUGACAGUUCUGCCCAUUGUAUCCUCUAGAAAAAGAGGUCUAGCAUACUGUGUCAUUUUUCUUAAGAAAAUUUGUAUCACUACAAAAAGAAUAACUUUUAUAGAACUGCUACUAGGACUUUUCUUUUGUCAGUAUUGCUUGCAUGACAGUGCAUAUUAUCGAAGGCAAUGCAGUUGGAUAGCUAGUUCUGUAUUUUAAAUUUAAGUCUUUAAUACAAAGGAUAAUUAAGGGUUUCUUAAAAAUCUUGAGACUAUAUGGUACAGGUAACUAGAUAAUUUGUUGCAAUCUGGAAUGGAAGUACUGAAGCUGACAACCAAAUCGAUGGCUUGGUUUCAAGUCCCUUCUGUACAUCAACUUCUUUUGGCCAAGCCACAACAAAUUUGUGGCUCCACUAGACAAGCUUAUGAUAAGAGUUGUCACACCAUACACGCCUCUUGUCUCAUUUUAUGCAAGGAUACAGAUGGUAUGACUUAGAUGGGAAUAAAAAACAAAGAUGAAUCAUACUAGAAGGUAUUUUGUUCUCUAUUUGCGGCGAAAGAAGGUUAAAAAAAUGCUUACAUAAACAAUUUAUUUAUUUACUUGAUGUCAGUAAGUUUGUGCCUAGUUCUUUUUCAGAUUGCAUUUUUUUAGUGAAUCUUUCUUUAAACCAUGAUAGACUUGUUUUUACCUGAUAUCCUGAUUUCAAUGAAAUAUUGACAUAUUGGCCAGAUUAAUGGUUGAUGUGUUUUCACCUAAAGAGAAGGCCACCAAUCAUAAGGCGAAAGAUUGUGAAGUUUAACUGAAAUAAUGAUGUGCUCUGUAGUGGCAGCACGUACCGAUUUUUGAACUCUUUUGUUGCUUCCUGGGGCGCUGAAAAUGACGGACUAUUUGGCUUUUCCUAACCUAUCCGCAGCUGUGCUUGCAUGAUCAGGUACUGACAAGGCAAAUUUUAUUUUGGCCGGAUAGCUAUAGUCAAUUUUUAAGUGAUGUGUUGGGUUCACUUUCAUAGAUCUUUUGGCAUUGCUUUCCGGUACGUCGUUAGUCUAGACCACACAACCAGAAAAAUCUUCUUGAAUUGUAGUUUUAAGCAAACAUCGACUGCAUAGCACUGUUCAUGAUCAUUAUCACUAAAUCUUGUCCUGGCAUGUAAAUGAUUGAGAAUGCAUGUAAGUGCCUAUCCACACCCAGUAAGGUAGUAGUAAGAAUUGAAGUAGUGAUAUUUGUAAAGUAUGGCCACGUGUUUGCUCUUAGCCAGCCAACUGAUGAUUCAGCGAGUAAAGCACCCAAUUAUUCGCUGCCCCUCUUCCAGUUCACUGUGACAAACAUUUCAUCCUCUAUUCAGGUAAUUGCAGUAUGUUGCUUGUUGUUUUACCACUUCUGCUCUUCCGAGUUAGGAUUAAUUUCACUCCUUCAACGUGUAUUUUUUAACUGGUGUAGCCUCAGAGUCAGAUCGGUCUCCCUCCUCUUUUUUUUUAUUUUAAAGAACGUCUCCUUCCACCUUAUCCUCGGUAAAGAAUGAAGAAAGGUUGUACAUCUCUUUCUCUGUAAAGGUGAUACAGUCCCAACCCAAAACACAAUAGUUUCCAUCAUAGAAAUUAGUACUAGAUACUACUCUUCCAAUACAAACACCACUAUUCCAUACUUGAAUUUAAUGCUACUCAUCUCUCAUUAUGUCUUGGAUGGUGUGUAGAAACUAGGUCUCAUGCAAGACCUGAUUUUCUUAUUUUUCUUCAUUUACUCCCUUGCCACAUCAUCUUUUAUCCUACUAAUUCUAUGGACAUCAUCCUAGUCAUUGGGUUGGGACUGUCCUAAGGGCGUCUCCAACGGAUGUGCAUUGAGGUAGUGGAAACGAUUUUAUAUGCAAUAAAUAGUUGAAUUAUUGCAACGCUGGUGUAGGAUCAAGCGAUAGUUUCGCACAGCUUACAACACUACUCUCUGGACCUGUUUGGUUAUGGUUGCUUAUUCAUAAGCAACUUAAAAAUAAGCAAAUAAGUUGCUUAUAAUCCAAACACUCUUGCUUAUAGAGUUGCUUAUAAGUUGCUUAUGCAUAAGCAAAUAAGCAAGUUUUGAGUUGCUUAUGGUUGCUUAUGGGACACUUUUACACCCCCUACCCUCAUUCUCUCUCCUCUCUCCCCUUUCUCUCUCCUCUCUCCCGUCACCACUGUCUGGCGCCGCUUCCGCCGGCUGCCGGCCGCCUGUGCGCCGCCCGCCCGCCCGCCGCCGCCGCUCCCGUCGCCCGCCGCCGCUCCCGCCCGCCUGCCGCCUGCUCGCCGCCCGCUUCCGCGCCGCUAGCUGCCCGCUCCCGCGCCGCCCGCCGCCGCUCCCGCCCGCCCACCGCCGCCGCUCCCGCCCGCCCGCCGCCCGCUCGCCGCCCGCCUCCGCGCCACUCGCCCCCCGCUCCCGCGCCGCCCGCCGGUAGUCCUGGAUCCAAAGUCAACCGCCGCCCGCUCGCCGCCCGCCUCCUCCCGCUCCCGUGCUCUUCUUCUAAUCCUGCGGAGGCGUGUAGCUCGUCAGUCGUCUACCUCCGACCAAGAUCUGGGAGCAGCAGGCGUCGCGACUCCCGACGCGUCCUUCUCGCAUCCAACCUUUCUCCUCCUCCCGCGCCGUCGCUGGAUCUGGACGAGCGGAGGGGCGCCCGCUAUACGAAUCGAGCCUUCGGCGCCCGUCGGGGGAGAAGCAGGCGGCGCGUCCAGUGGGCUCGAGCCCGCCGCCCAUUUUCCAUCUCGCCGGCUGCUCCCGCCCGCCGCCGCCGCUCCUACCCGCCCGCUGCCCGCCCGCCUCCGCGCCGCGCGCCUGCCGCCGGCCGCCCGCCGCUCGCGCCCCGCGGCCGCCGCCGGCCGCCCGCCGCUCGCACCCUGCCGCUGCCCAAACCAAGGGGUAGGAGCUGGGUAAUUAUCAGGGGUAGAGGAAAAUGGGAUGGCAGGGGUAAAUAUGUCAAUACCAAUCAUAUAAGCAACCCAAACCAAACACCUAGACUUAUAAAUAAGCAACUACAAUAAGCAACUUAAGCAACUUAUAAAUAAGCACCCAUAACCAAACAGGCCCACAGCACCGUUUUCCGAUACAACUGUUCCUUGCACCUCCCUGCUGUAUAAGCUAUCAUCUAUCUUAUAUUGUUGGAGAUGGCCUAAGGACCACAAAUGCACUAGGGAUGGCGUAGCUAGGAUUUCAUGAUAGGGUGGUCCAAUUUAACAAAUGGAGAUAGGGUUGGAGUUAACUGGAUGGAAUUAGCUGCUGCUUGCUACCGGAUGGAGUUAGCUGUUGCUUGUCACCGGCCAUCCACCUACAACCGCCAUCUGCAUAUACCACUAGGGAUACGAAAAGAAAUGACAUGAACAGAAGAGAUGCUGAUAAAAACCAAGGCAUAAGGGAUUUUUGGACAAAAUUUUAGGGUGGUCCAUAGCCCACCCGGACCACCCUCUGGCUCCGCCCAUCCUAGGGGCUGAACGUACGCAGAUGAGUACAAUUAAUUUCAGUCGCUUCAGGCAACGAUUGAUGCUUCCACGUCAUGAAGACCUGGCGAAUUACUUCUCCCUCAAACAUUUCAAAAGAAACAUGUACGAGACCCCUUCACUUUCGAAACAGCUGAAGGUUGGCUCAACCAGGAAAGUACACUGGACGGGGAAACGCCAAAGGGGCAGAAGAAGAAUUUCACACCUGGAAAUGCCAGAGGGGCAUAAGAAUAAUUUCACACCUGGAAAUGCCAGAGGGGCAGAAGAGGAGUUUCACACCAGGAUUUCUGGUUGGAACACAGUCGAAGGGCUUGUUUGAACGUUCUAGCUUAAAAAAAACUAUAGUAUUAAGAAGCUCUACUUUAGAAAUUAAGGAUAUGUAAAAAAACAAGAUUUAGAAAAAGAGGUUUUGAGUAGAAACUGUAAAAAGAAAUAAUAUAGCUACCAUUGUUUUAAAAACUAGCUAGUCCGUCCAUUUUUAAAUGUAAGACGUUUUACUUUUGUACUAAAUCGGAUUUCUCUAACUUUAUUUAUAGAUAAAUGCACCAAGACCUACAACAUCAAGUUAUUUUCAUUAAAUCCAUCAUUGAGUAUUUUUUAGUAGUGCAUUUUUUUUGUAUUGUGGACCUUAAUAUAUUUUUCUAUAUUUUUUAAUCAAAGAGUAAGAAGUUGAACAUAGUGUACAAGAUUUGUUACAUUCAAAGAUCUUAUAGACUUUUGAAACUAAGGUAUUUUGCAAAUAAAAGUAUCACAUGUGCAAUAAUACUUAAUAAUGUUGGUCCUUCACCACCUCACCAUUUUUCCCACCGACUAUUUUUGUCCAUUUUAACCACGAAUUCCUUUCUUUGUAGGGAAAAUACUCGGUGCAAACCACUUAUUUGGUGGAAUCAUUAAAACCUUUCUAAAAACCACACUUAAAUUUUUAAAAAUAUUUAAACUAAAAAAAUUAAAAUAUAUAAAGCGAGGCAGCACAUCUAUAGUGCAUCUAUACAUUUAAUUUUCUGCAGUUCUUCAGAUGCAAACUCAUUCUAAGAAAAAAUCAUACAAAAAAAUUGUGUGAAAUUUUCUAGAUUAGAUUUGCAUCUCAACUUUUUACAAUAGCGUAUAUGUAUAUGGAUGCACUGUAGAUAUGUGUCGUUUCAAUUUUUUUUGAAUUUUUUUAAUAUACCUUUUAGAGAGGUUGUCAAGAUUCCACAUAUCGCUCAAAGUUUUGGAGGCCUGCCACAGCUUCUGCGGUGCCCGUCGGUAGCCAGACGUGUAGCUCUCCCACCCAGCCCGACGUGUAGCUCUCCCGGGCCGGUUCUUUAUUAUUAGCCAGCAAGGUGUGAAGAGUCCACGGAAUUCCUACCGUCGCGCAUGCCUCUUCUCCCUUGCAUACAUAUAUGGUUCAAAGUCUUUUCGGAACAUGUGAUUAUCUUUUUUUCCCCCCAAAUCAUGCAAAAACAAAAAGAGAUGGUAAAUUUCAUGUAAAGCUCCCGUAAAACUCCUGCAUUCGUUUUUUUUAAAGGUAAAACUCCUGCAUUCUGAAAUGAGGAGCCUGAAAAACGAGGCACAUCAAAACAAACAGCUGCAGCAUCCAGCCAUGGGUCGCAGUCCAGCUAGGAGAGAGAUCACCUGUGGAUCGCUCCUUCUAGAGAAGCUUUUGGGCGUCGAGAUAAGGAUCAGCACAACCCGCACGUACGGCUGCUGCAGCUAGGUCCCCCAAACCCAGAGUUCCUGCCUUCCUUAAUCCCAGGCCAGGCCAGGCUCCCCACGCGCAGCCACAGGCGAUAGGGAGAGACGGGACGACGCCACAAGAAAACAACAAGAAAUCCGCCGCGGAAUUCCGGAUUAAAAUAAGGGUUCGUGCUCUUGCUCCGGUGAUGUCACUCACCCGCUGCCUCUCUCCAAUUCUUUUUUCUUCCCCUGCAAAAUUUAUGCUCAUGCUCACCCUGCUCGAGCGAGAGCAUACGCGCAUAUAUAAAGGGCUCCUCAUGCCUGCGUUCUUGCUUCCCCCGGUUUCCUUUUUAUUCUUGUGCGCUAUUCUCUUGUGGGAAGGAAGAGAAGAGGGCUGGCUGCGCGGCAGCGAAUGCUUAGCUCAGGUAGGGUUCUUGGGGCCUGGGGUUUCUUCUUGCUCUGUUCCGUGAUCUUGGGAGCGGUCCUUGAUUUGGGGUGCAAGAACCGAGAAGCACUCGCAAUUGCGUUCUUGCUUAUUGCUGCAUUGUUGCAUAAAUAUAUAUAUAUAAAUAUUUAUAUAUAUAAACCCUGUAGCAAACUGUUGGGAUAAUGCUGGCCGAUGAGUGUGUCUUUACUCGAUUGAAUGUCGCUUUUAAGAUUUUUCUUGAGAUUUCUCGUUGCUGUAUCAGCUCGAUCGAUCCAUCUGUGCUCAUUUUCUUUCAGCAAUGGCCGUUGCAAGUUCUCAGUGUUUCUCAUUUUACCUUUGUUUCCUCACUCCUCAGUAGUAAAGUGAACGGAAUUUUCUUUGCUCACGGGUUCUCAGCUCUUGGCCCCUCCCUGCACUUUUGGAUGCUUUUGUUGUGAUUCCGAGAAAAAAGUUUGGAAUCUUUGAAUUGGUUUUGGCCCAAAUGAUGGCUGCUAGAGCUUGCGCACUGGCAGCUUCCCUUUCCCUUCCUCUGCUCCCUGUCUUUCUAUUCCGGUGCUGCUCUGCUUUUUAACCCCACUGCCUUUGAAACGAUAAAGCAGAUGGUCUUUAAACAUGUCAUUUUCCUGUUGCUCAGAUGAGAGUACUGGUGAUUUUGUGAUAUUACCAGAUCUGCCUUCUUUUUUUUUCCUGUUUGUUAUAUCCUUAUGUAUUUAAAUGUUUUCCAGAGAAUCCAUCCUCGCCCUUGUUCUCUUCCCACAAAACUCCCAACUUUGACACUAUGCAAAAAGAAGAUUCCCCAUCACAUCAAACUUGCGGUACAUGCAUGGAGUACUAAAUGUAGACGAAAUCAAAAACUAUUUGCACAGUUUUGUUGUACUUUGCGAGACGAAUCUUUUGAGCCUAAUUAGUCAAUAUUUGGACAAUAAUUCACAAAUACAAACAAAACGCUACAGUGUUGCUACAGUAAUUUGACACCUCCCAAAUUCGCGAAGUAAACAAGGGCCUCGUAGCUAGACUGUAAGCAGCAUAAUAUGUUUAACCUUUUAGUGGUAUGACUGUGAGUUGUACUACUUACUGGUUCUGCAUUCAUCUCCACCCAUACUGAAUUGUUUAUUUUACAGAAUUGGAAUACAACUUUCUAUUUGAGAUAUUUUUAACAAUGUAUAGGGAGUUUCAGUUUUGAGAUACAGAGGAGUACUGCCCCAUGCCCCUUAUAUAGAUGGUCAUAUUUAGGCAGUUCUUUGUAGCCAAACAUCCGGAAAUGGUCAUCCUAAAAUUUGUUAGCCCAACCCUGCCAUGUUUAUCUUCUUUUAACUAGCAGUUUACUAAAAAAAAUGUUCUGUCAGUUUGGUCAACAUGUAACAACCUUCGUAUUAGUUAUUUAAUAUAGUUAUAUACGCUGCAUACACCAGUUCUGUGUUUCUCAAUCCAUACAAAUAUGAACUUUUUUUUUCUGUAUUUCCAUGCAUAGUAGAACUGAUGUUGGCUGUUUGACAGAUGUUGCACAAAUAGCACAUAUGUUUUAUCAAGCAAUAUAACUGCACAUAAUGAACACAUCUGCCUGAACUAGUACAUAAGGCUCAAUCCAUACAAGUUCUUCAUUUUCAGACGUUCUAAACGUCAGUUGGACAUGGCUUUCUGGAAGGCCUUCCUAAACUUUAUUGUCCUGCUCUUCUUCCAUAGGUGUGUUAGAUUGGAAGUUGGAACAAUAACUUGAUUUAAGGUUCAAGAGCAAACAAAACCAUGGAGAGGGAAAUCAUGACCUCCUAUGAAACCAAGAAGAACUGUGAAAUUAGGGUAUUUGAGAGUUCAGACGAGAUGGCAACAGAUCUGGCAGAGUUUAUUUCACAAGUUUCAGAAAUUUCUGUUAAGGAAAGAGGAUACUUUGCUAUUGCUCUCUGCGGAGGGCCUCUUAUCAGACAUAUGCGGUAAUGCUGUAUCCACAUCAAUUUCAUUAACUAUAUAUCAGUUUUCUGUUUUCAAAGGAAGCAAUAAAUCUAUAACUCUAUAUGUAUAUUCUUGUACGUGUCUGACGUCUCAACUGUUUUUUUCUUAAAAAGGAAGCUCUGUGAAGCACCAUACAACAAGACCCUUGAUUGGUCUAAAUGGUACAUCUUCUGGGCUGAAGAACGUGCAGUAGCAAAGAACCAUGCAGAGAGUAACUACAAAUUAGCAAAGGAAGGAUUUCUCUCCAAGGUAUAUCAACUUAAAACAUGACGUUCACUUAAUUUUCACGCAUUGAGUUUAUAAAUCACAACAGUUUUUUUUAUUUCACAGAGAUUAUGUAUCUACCAAUUUUCAUUCUUAUCUUUUUACCUCAAUAAAUUAGGGUCGGAGACGUGUUCAUUGGUCAGCUUAUUUGUUGCUGUAUCAAGAAAGCUGUUCUUUGUCUGACAUAUGCUUUUGUUUGACUUAGGAUGUGGCCUACUCUGUAGUCUGUACAGCUCAUGCGAAAUCCUUUUCUGAAUAAUUAAGCCACAUUAAGGCUGCCUACCUACUGAUUGUUCCAACUACUCUCGGAGUGCCAGCUGCUUCGCAUAUCUUUCGACCUUGCAAAAAAUUCUUCACACAUCUUUUUAUUGUUAUGCCCAACAAUUUUAUCAAGUUUAAAGCUUAUCCAUAUGGCUGCACUUUAUCAGGAUAGGAUUGCUGUUUGUCAGUGGAUAUCAUACGAGACUAGCAUGAUAGUGAACUCAAGGAGCUUACAUCAAAUUUUGGAUUACCUUUUUACUUGAAAAUUGCUAGUCAUCCUCAUCUGAUCAAACUUUGCUGCUCAUGUGUUCAUGCAUAUGAAAGCUUUUUUUUUUCAAGAACACGCAGAAGGGCAUAUUAGGGCCUUCAAAAUGAGCAGAUACUUUUUUACAAUUGUCAAGGAAGGAUGCUACAAGUGGGUGUGUAAACUGUAAACAACUAGCAAUGUUUCACUGAACAUCUCUACUGUCGUAUUGGAACAAUAUGCAUUAUUUAUCCACCUUUCUAACUGCAUUUACAUCUAGUAUGUGGAUCCUGUAUAUAUGUUUGUUUUGUUUAGCUCACGUUCACAAGCACUUGAUGUAGGUUUGUAAAGCAUGGCUUGGAUUGUUUUCUUGUAAGACUGUUAUGAACCAUUACAGCUUGUCUGCUCCCCGUUUCCAUUGGGUUAACCAUGAGUCUGCAUCUGAAUGACUUGUAGGUGCCUAUUCUUAAUGGUCAUGUCUACUCCAUCAACGACAACGCAACGGUGGAACAGGCUGCAACUGACUAUGAAUUUGUCAUCAGGCAGCUGGUCAAGGUUCGAACAGUUGGAGUCUCAGAGAGCAACGACUGCCCCAAAUUUGACCUCAUUCUUCUGAACAUUGGUCCUGAUGGUCAUGUAGCCUCAUUGUUCCCCAACCAUCCAGCUCUUGAGCUGAAAGAUGACUGGGUCACCUACAUCACCGAUUCUCCAGAGCCUCCACCUGAGAGGAUUACCUUCACUCUCCCUGUGAUAAACUCGGCAUUGAACAUUGCUAUUGUUGCCACUGGAGAAGACAAGGAAAAGGCUGUGUCUUUUGCUAUUUCUGACUGCAACGAAAGCCUAGGUGCUACAUCAGUACCUGCUACAAUGGUUCAGCCAACUGACGGGAAGUUGGUAUGGUUUCUGGAUGAGGCGGCUGCCUCAUCCCUUGAAGCUGGGAACGAUGCUUACGAGCACCAGUACUGAGACAAGUGUUGGACCUGGACAUCCUUCUGCUUCUUCUUCUUCUUCUUCUUCCUUUUGCUGUGAAUGUAGAGUUGUUCAUGUCGUUGAUGUGUUUGGAUGGGAGAAGUUUUGGGGAGCACUUAGAUCUGAUUUCUGAGAAGUCGAAAAAAUGAUGCAACAUGUAUUUUAUGCCGAGAACUGAAGUACCAGAGUAGCUAAGUUCGAACGUUGGUCAUAUGAUACUGUUUAGUGUUGCCUCAGUUUUAUCAUAUUCCUUUUUAUGAUAUUUUCUAGCGGGUAGCAGUAUUUUUGCUGGAUAUAUUGGAAUCCUGAGCCUAAGAUGCAUUUCAAUUAAGUUGUCCUCUGGCUAAAUUUUGCUCUGAUCGUUUCAAAUUUGGAAAUUUAUUAUUGCUUGGAACCUUUAUGUUGUAGGAUAGGAUAGGUCUGGAGACCCGUGUUGGAGCCCUGAGCCCUCCAUCUUGUUAGAUCAAAGGACGGGUUCCUGCAGAAUGCAAACAUUCCGGUUACAUAAAUUUUUCACUAGUAUUUCAGGCCAUGCCCAUAGUAUUUCACUAAAAGGAGUUCAACCGGAGUCUGACCAAGAAAGGUCGCGGAAGCUGGCCUUCCUCGUACAUGGAGAUGCUUCACCCAUGCUGACCAGGACGAGAACCAACGAGUGAAUUUUUUUACCCAGCUUAAAAUUCGCUUCUACGAGGAUUCGAACUUAGAACCUAGGAUGCUAGUAAGGUCACUACAACCAUUAGGAUACACGCCCCUUCACAAAAUAGUUUCUAUAUUAUUAAUUGCAUUGCCACGUAUGAUUUUUAGUUUACAUGGCACUAUAUUGAAUAAGAGAUAUCUCUUCUAAGAGUAAUAUAAUGCUCUCGGGGGACAUGCUCACAUGCAGAUGGCAUCAGCUGAUCAGCACAAGAUCACCAACGAACUAUUCCAGAUGGAGAUGAGUGUUAAGAUAUGCUUUGUAUCUCUGAAUAUAUGAGGUUGUUAGGAAGGUCGGAUUUUCUGAUUUCUAAGUCAGGGUACAGUUCGUUCCUGAAACUAAUUACAGAGCUGUGCUUUGCCUUGUGCACGCAGGUACCUGAUUUUCCUAGCUGAGGAAAAGGCCGCUGCGGUUGGCACCAAGGCAUGUUUAUGCUCAUGUCACAUACUUUGCCUCUCUUUUUCUGUUCUGGGUGCAUUGUACACUGCUGAAGUAGAGUUAUAAUUGUUUGCACACUGAAUACUUUUGUUCUUGCUUGCUUGUUUGACAGAAUUCCAAACCUUCCUGAAGAUGUGUAGAAACAACUUGAAGACCCGGAUAGCAGGUGGCGUGCCUAGUCAAGAAUUUUUGUUUUAAUGUCCCCAUCUGAAAGCUCCCAGCUAGUACUGAUGUUUGUGCGCAAGAAACAUUCGAUAAACCCUCAAUGUGACUUCUAUCAGUUUCUUCAUUUGAAACUUUUUUCCCUUGACUCAAAUGGUGCAAACUCGUACUACGGGUAAUAACAACCAAACUACAGCCAAAAUAUGUCCAGAAAUAGUGAGUGAAUUGGAGAACAUAAACCGAUACAUAAAGGCUGACCACAUCGAUACAAAGACCAACAGCAUUUGACGAAGUUUAGACAUCCAUUUUUCUCCAGAGUCUAAGCUUAUCUUACUGGGCAACCAAAAGUCUUCCUUACAUCAAUCAUUGUUACUACUAAAUUAGUCCAAAUAGUUAUGGGGGUGGAGAACAACACUUGCUCACGAUGACCCAUCUUUUAUAGGAACUAGUCCAAAGCUAUUGCAUCUCCAUCUUCAGCGACAGAUUCACCAUCAUAAUGCUCUCGUGCUUUAAUCUUCAUCUUGCUUGAACAGUCCUCCCUGACUGUUUCAGAGUCCCUCCAAGUUACUAUUGGAUAGCUCUAGGAUCUCAUAGUAGAGACGUUGAAUAUUUCAAUUGGAAUUCGGCUGUGCUAAUAAAUCUGUCAAUGCUUCCAAGUGUGCCAACAAAUCUGAAGGCAUUCGUGUCGAAAUCCAAUCCAAAUCUCUAAGAUUUGCUAUAGUCAUUGGGAUCGAACCACAGAAUUUGUCUCUAACAGAGAAAGAAUGCAAACUCUUAAGCAUACUGAGGUGGGAAGAGUUCCUGUGAAAUAAUUAUCACUAAGAUCAAGAUUAUGUAAGCUGAUGAAAUUACUUAUAUCUUUUGAUAUGUUGCCUCCUGCCUGGAACUUCAUCGAUUGAAAUAGAUAGAAAUGUUUUAACUGAAAGAUCAAAAAAUUGGUGCACCCUCCCAUAGCUGCAGGGAUGCUUCCAUGGAGAGCAUUUGUGCUCAGGUUCAGCAUCCGAAGCCUGCUGAGUUGACCGAGCUCCUAAGCUAUCUGCCCAACAAAUUGGUUGAUAAAUGAAGAUCUGUUUGGAUCAUAUUUAUUGGGUGAAGAAACUCCCCCUCCGUCUACUAACACUUAUGAGGUCAAGAAGAAGAAUAAGAAGCAAAGACAUAAUAGGAAAAGGAAGGAGGAGCAACCGAAACCAGUGGCUGAGCCGUUGGACCCUGAGUCACCACUAGGAGUAGAGCUUCCACAGUGGCACCGCGCUCUUCUUAAUCCAUCGGAUGAACUAUGUCACUACCUCAAAAACUAGGUGAUUUGUUACAUUUGCAUUGCUUGUUCGUUACCUUUGCAUUGCUUGUUUGUUACCUCUACAUUGCUUGUCCACUUGUUCUACUCCUUACCAUGUCCCUUCACCCGUUGGAAACAGGGUUCUACAGGAGAUGCCACAUGCAGAGGAGACGCUACGCAUAGAUUUCACUCAUUUUUUAUCUCAGAAUGCGGAGCUCACGUGCACCAUCUGCAAUGCCAAAGAGAAACAUGAAGUUGAAUGGUUAGGAACUUGUACAGUUCACAUUUGAUGCACCAUGAGAGUUUCAAUUUUUAUGUUGUUGACCAUUUCUUUUUAUUGCAGGGUUAAUUCAUAGGUGGCCUCAGCUCUUAAAGAUUUGUGUGAGAAGAAUGGACUACCUACACCAGAAUACCAGUUUAUUCGCAAGCCUAAUUGGUGAGAUGAUGGUUCAACCUUGUUCUAUUUUGUUACUAUGAGUGACACAAAAUUUCUAUGGUAUCUUAAUGUCAUGUAUCAUAUGGUAAUGUUAGUUGCCUUGUUAUAUUUUUUUACCAUGAGUGGUUUCUAAGUAUAUUUUCUUAUAAGGCAGUUGAUUUCCACUAAAAGAGAUUCCAGGUUCUCACCACAAAACCUUCAAAACAAUUAGGCUAUUUAAAAGAGCUGACCGGGUCAUGGUUAAAGUAGCAACAUCUCGUGGGAAGAAAUUUUUUUGGCCCUCCUUGGAGUGAUAUUGAUGAUGCUUUAAGAUGGAUACAUUUGGGAUGGAAAACUUUAUCUUAAUGAUAUUUAUUGGACUGAGUUUACUGGGUUGGUUCAGAUCCAGGUUCUUAGAAGGCCAACAAAAGAAUUUGUCAAAACUGAGCAGUUAAUAUCAGAUAUAAAGAGUAUUUAGACUAAUAUGAUGGGCCCUUAUUUUGAGGAUAAAGAUGAAACACUUCCCAUAUUGAGCGUGAGGAUGCUCGUGACUAUCCUAUUCUUAGCAGAACCUUAAACUAUAGGAAGAAUCUCAAGAAAACACCCGACGGUGCCCAUGAGGUGAGAAUAGCAACUAAACUGGGUAAUGAGAUACAAUGGGAAAUCUACAGCAAACCACAAAGAGUUAUUGUGCAUCAUGUGGCUGUUCAAGCUGGUGCCAUUUCAGAUCAACUCAAAGCGGCUGUUGGAGAUGAGGUGGCUGUUGGAGUUGGAGAUGAGGUUGCUAUCGGAGAUGAUGAGGUGGCUGUUGGAGUUGGAGAUGAGGUUGCUGCUGGUGAUGAUGAGGUGAGUGUUGGGGAGAAAGACAGUAAGGAAAAUGAUGAUGAUGAUGAUAAGAUGAGUGUUGAGGAGAAAGACAAUAAGAAAAAUGAUGAUGAUGAUGAUGAUGAUGAUGACGACGAUGACGAUGAUGAUGAAGACUAUAAAGAGGAAAGGGUAGAUUUGGUGCGGUUCGUCAAGAACUCCAUUUCACAUAUAUCUGAUAGCAAUAUCAAAGUGUUAAUUGUUGAUGACUCAGAGAUCUUAACUGCUAGUGUAUUUGGUGAUCUUGUGUCAGAUCUAAUCAAAUGGGUGUUAAGAGCAAUAUUUAGCUGAUGAAAUUACUUAUAUCUUUUGAUAUGUUGCCUCCUGCCUGGAACUUCAUUGAUUGAAAUAGAUAGAAAUGUUUGAAUUGAAAGAUCCAAAAAUUGGUGCACCCUCCCAUGGCUGCAGGGAUGCUUCCAUGGAGAGCAUUUGUGCUCAGGUUCAGCAUCCGAAGCCUGCUGAGUUGACCGAGCUCCUGAGCUAUCUGCCCAACAAAUUGGUUGAUAAAUGAAGAUCUAUUUGGAUCAUAUUUAUUGGGUGAAGAAACUCCCCCUCCGUCUACUAACACUUAUGAGGUCAAGAAGAAGAAUAAGAAGCAAAGACAUAAUAGGAAAAGGAAGGAGGAGCAACCGAAACCAGUGGCCGAGCCGUUGGACCCUGAGUCACCACUAGGAGUAGAGCUUCCACAGUGGCACCACGCUCUUCUUAAUCCAUCGGAUGAACUAUGUCACUACCUCAAAAACUAGGUGAUUUGUUACAUUUGCAUUGCUUGUUCGUUACCUUUGCAUUGCUUGUUUGUUACCUCUACAUUGCUUGUCCACUUGUUCUACUCCUUACCAUGUCCCUUCACCCGUUGGAAACAGGGUUCUACAGGAGAUGCCACAUGCAGAGGAGACGCUACGCAUAGAUUUCACUCAUUUUUUAUCUCAGAAUGCGGAGCUCACGUGCACCAUCUGCAAUGCCAAAGAGAAACAUGAAGUUGAAUGGUUAGGAACUUGUACAGUUCACAUUUGAUGCACCAUGAGAGUUUCAAUUUUUAUGUUGUUGACCAUUUCUUUUUAUUGCAGGGUUAAUUCAUAGGUGGCCUCAGCUCUUAAAGAUUUGUGUGAGAAGAAUGGACUACCUACACCAGAAUACCAGUUUAUUCGCAAGCCUAAUUGGUGAGAUGAUGGUUCAACCUUGUUCUAUUUUGUUACUAUGAGUGACACAAAAUUUCUAUGGUAUCUUAAUGUCAUGUAUCAUAUGGUAAUGGUAGUUGCCUUGUUAUAUUUUUUUACCAUGAGUGGUUUCUAAGUAUAUUUUCUUAUAAGGCAGUUGAUUUCCACUAAAAGAGAUUCCAGGUUCUCACCACAAAACCUUCAAAACAAUUAGGCUAUUUAAAAGAGCUGACCGGGUCAUGGUUAAAGUAGCAACAUCUCGUGGGAAGAAAUUUUUUUGGCCCUCCUUGGAGUGAUAUUGAUGAUGCUUUAAGAUGGAUACAUUUGGGAUGGAAAACUUUAUCUUAAUGAUAUUUAUUGGACUGAGUUUACUGGGUUGGUUCAUAUCCAGGUUCUUAGAAGGCCAACAAAAGAGAAUGUCAAAACUGAGCAGUUAAUAUCAGAUAUAAAGAGUAUUUAGACUAAUAUGAUGGGCCCUUAUUUUGAGGAUAAAGAUGAAACACUUCCCAUAUUGAGAGUGAGGAUGCUCGUGAGUAUCCUAUUCUUAGCAGAACCUUAAACUACAGGAAGAAUCUCAAGAAAACACCCGACGGUGCCCAUGAGGUGAGAAUAGCAACUAAACUGGGUAAUGAGAUACAAUGGAAAAUCUACAGCAAACCACAAAGAGUUAUUGUGCAUCAUGUGGCUGUUCAAACUAGUGCCAUUUCUGAUCAACUCAAAGCGGCUGUUGGAGAUGAGGUGCUGUUGGAGUUGGAGAUGAGGUUGCUAUCGGAGAUGAUGAGGUGGCUGUUGGAGUUGGAGAUGAGGUUGCUGCUGGUGAUGAUGAGGUGAGUGUUGGGGAGAAAGACAGUAAGGAAAAUGAUGAUGAUGAUGAUAAGAUGAGUGUUGAGGAGAAAGACAAUAAGAAAAAUGAUGAUGAUGAUGAUGAUGAUGAUGACGACGAUGACGAUGAUGAUGAAGACUAUAAAGAGGAAAGGGUAGAUUUGGUGCGGUUCGUCAAGAACUCCAUUUCACAUAUAUCUGAUAGCAAUAUCAAAGUGUUAACUGUUGAUGACUCAGAGAUCUUAACUGCUAGUGUAUUUGGUGAUCUUGUGUCAGAUCUAAUCAAAUGGGUGUUAAGAGCAAUAUUUAGCUGAUGAAAUUACUUAUAUCUUUUGAUAUGUUGCCUCCUGCCUGGAACUUCAUUGAUUGAAAUAGAUAGAAAUGUUUGAAUUGAAAGAUCGAAAAAUUGGUGCACCCUCCCAUGGCUGCAGGGAUGCUUCCAUGGAGAGCAUUUGUGCUCAGGUUCAGCAUCCGAAGCCUGCUGAGUUGACCGAGCUCCUGAGCUGUCUGCCCAACAAAUUGGUUGAUUAAUGAAGAUCUGUUUGGAUCAUAUUUACUGGGUGAAGAAACUCCCUCUCCCUCUACUAACACUUAUGAGGUCAAGAAGAAGAAUAAGAAGCAAAGACAGAAUAGGAAAAGGAAGAAGGAGGAGCAACCGAAACCUGUGGCCGAGCCGUUGGAUCCUGAGUCACCACCAUGAGUAGAGCUUCCACAGUGGCACUGCCCUCUUCUUAAUCCAUCGGAUGAACUGUGUCACUACCUCAAAAACUAGGUGAUUUGUUACAUUUGCAUUGGUUGUUCGUUACCUUAGCACUGCUUGUUCGUUACCUCUGCAUUGCUUGUUUGUUACCUCUGCAUUGCUUGUCCACUUAUUCUACUCCUUACCAUGUCCCUUCACCCGUUGGAAACAGGGUUCUACAGGAGAUGCCACAUGCAGAGGAGACGUUACGCAUAGAUUUCACUCAUUUUUUAUCUCAGAAUGCGGAGCUCACGUGCACCAUCUGCAAUGCCAAAGAGAAACAGGAAGUUGAAUGGUUAGGAACUUGUACAGUUCACAUUUGAUGCACCAUGAGAGUUUCAAUUUUUAUGUUGUUGAUCAUUUCUUUUUGUUGCAGGGUUAAUUCAUAGGUGGGCUCAGCUCUUAAAGAUUUGUGUGAGAAAAAUGGACUACCUACACCAGAUUACUAGUUUAUUCGCAAGCCUAAUUGGUGAGAUGAUGGUUCAACCUUACUCUAUUUUGUUACUAUGAGUGACACAUAAUUUUUCUGGUGUCUUAAUGUCAUGUUUCUAUGGUAAUGGUAGUUGCCUUGUUAUAUUUUUUACCAUGAGUGGUUUCUAAGUAUAUUUUCUUAUAACGUAGUUGAUUUCCACUAAAAGAGAUUCCAGGUUCUCACCACAAACCCUUCAAAACAAUUAGGCUAUUUAAAAGAGCUGAUCGGGUCAUGGUUAAAGUAGCAACAUCUCGUGGGAAGAAAAUUUUUUGGGCCCUCCUUGGAGUGAUAUUGAUGAUGCUUUAAGAUGGAUACAUUUGGGAUGGAAAACUUUAUCUUAAUGAUAUUUAUUGGACUGAGUUUACUGGGUUGGUUCAUAUCCAGGUUCUUAGAAGGCCAACAAAAGAGAAUGUCAAAACUGAGCAGUUAAUAUCAGAUAUAAAGAGUAUUUGGACUAAUAUGAUGGACCCUUAUUUUGAGGAUAAAGAUGAAACACUUCCCAUAUUGAGCGUGAGGAUGCUCGUGACUAUCCUAUUCUUAGCAGAACCUUAAACUACAGGAAGAAUCUCAAGAAAACACCCGACGGUGCCCAUGAGGUGAGAAUAGCAACUAAACUGGGUAAUGAGAUACAAUGGAAAAUCUACAGCAAACCACAAAGAGUUAUUGUGCAUCAUGUGGCUGUUCAAGCUGGUGCCAUUUCAGAUCAACUCAAAGCGGCUGUUGGAGAUGAGGUGGCUGUUGGAGUUGGAGAUGAGGUUGCUAUCGGAGAUGAUGAGGUGGCUGUUGGAGUUGGAGAUGAGGUUGCUGCUGGUGAUGAUGAGGUGAGUGUUGGGGAGAAAGACAGUAAGGAAAAUGAUGAUGACGAUGAUAAGAUGAGUGUUGAGGAGAAAGACAAUAAGAAAAAUGAUGAUGAUGAUGAUGACGACGACGACGACGACGACGAUGAUGAUGAAGACUAUAAAGAGGAAAGGGUAGAUUUGGUGCGGUUCGUCAAGAACUCCAUUUCACAUAUAUCUGAUAGCAAUAUCAAAGUGUUAACUGUUGAUGACUCAGAGAUCUUAACUGCUAGUGUAUUUGGUGAUCUUGUGUCAGAUCUAAUCAAAUGGGUGUUAAGAGCAAUAUUUAGCUGAUGAAAUUACUUAUAUCUUUUGAUAUGUUGCCUCCUGCCUGGAACUUCAUUGAUUGAAAUAGAUAGAAAUGUUUGAAUUGAAAGAUCGAAAAAUUGGUGCACCCUCCCAUGGCUGCAGGGAUGCUUCCAUGGAGAGCAUUUGUGCUCAGGUUCAGCAUCCGAAGCCUGCUGAGUUGACCGAGCUCCUGAGCUGUCUGCCCAACAAAUUGGUUGAUUAAUGAAGAUCUGUUUGGAUCAUAUUUACUGGGUGAAGAAACUCCCUCUCCCUCUACUAACACUUAUGAGGUCAAGAAGAAGAAUAAGAAGCAAAGAUAGAAUAGGAAAAGGAAGAAGGAGGAGCAACCGAAACCUGUGGCCGAGCCGUUGGAUCCUGAGUCACCACCAUGAGUAGAGCUUCCACAGUGGCACUGCCCUCUUCUUAAUCCAUCGGAUGAACUGUGUCACUACCUCAAAAACUAGGUGAUUUGUUACAUUUGCAUUGGUUGUUCGUUACCUUAGCACUGCUUGUUCGUUACCUCUGCAUUGCUUGUUUGUUACCUCUGCAUUGCUUGUCCACUUAUUCUACUCCUUACCAUGUCCCUUCACCCGUUGGAAACAGGGUUCUACAGGAGAUGCCACAUGCAGAGGAGACGUUACGCAUAGAUUUCACUCAUUUUUUAUCUCAGAAUGCGGAGCUCACGUGCACCAUCUGCAAUGCCAAAGAGAAACAGGAAGUUGAAUGGUUAGGAACUUGUACAGUUCACAUUUGAUGCACCAUGAGAGUUUCAAUUUUUAUGUUGUUGAUCAUUUCUUUUUGUUGCAGGGUUAAUUCAUAGGUGGGCUCAGCUCUUAAAGAUUUGUGUGAGAAAAAUGGACUACCUACACCAGAUUACCAGUUUAUUCGCAAGCCUAAUUGGUGAGAUGAUGGUUCAACCUUACUCUAUUUUGUUACUAUGAGUGACACAUAAUUUUUCUGGUGUCUUAAUGUCAUGUUUCUAUGGUAAUGGUAGUUGCCUUGUUAUAUUUUUUACCAUGAGUGGUUUCUAAGUAUAUUUUCUUAUAACGUAGUUGAUUUCCACUAAAAGAGAUUCCAGGUUCUCACCACAAACCCUUCAAAACAAUUAGGCUAUUUAAAAGAGCUGAUCGGGUCAUGGUUAAAGUAGCAACAUCUCGUGGGAAGAAAAUUUUUUGGGCCCUCCUUGGAGUGAUAUUGAUGAUGCUUUAAGAUGGAUACAUUUGGGAUGGAAAACUUUAUCUUAAUGAUAUUUAUUGGACUGAGUUUACUGGGUUGGUUCAUAUCCAGGUUCUUAGAAGGCCAACAAAAGAGAAUGUCAAAACUGAGCAGUUAAUAUCAGAUAUAAAGAGUAUUUGGACUAAUAUGAUGGACUCUUAUUUUGAGGAUAAAGAUGAAACACUUCCCAUAUUGAGCGUGAGGAUGCUCGUGACUAUCCUAUUCUUAGCAGAACCUUAAACUACAGGAAGAAUCUCAAGAAAACACCCGACGGUGCCCAUGAGGUGAGAAUAGCAACUAAACUGGGUAAUGAGAUACAAUGGAAAAUCUACAGCAAACCACAAAGAGUUAUUGUGCAUCAUGUGGCUGUUCAAACUAGUGCCAUUUCUGAUCAACUCAAAGCGGCUGUUGGAGAUGAGGUGCUGUUGGAGUUGGAGAUGAGGUUGCUAUCGGAGAUGAUGAGGUGGCUGUUGGAGUUGGAGAUGAGGUUGCUGUUGGUGAUGAUGAGGUGAGUGUUGGGGAGAAAGACAGUAAGGAAAAUGAUGAUGAUGAUGAUAAGAUGAGUGUUGAGGAGAAAGACAAUAAGAAAAAUGAUGAUGAUGAUGAUGAUGACGACGACGACGACGACGACGAUGAUGACGACUAUAAAGAGGAAAUGGUAGAUUUGGUGCGGUUCGUCAAGAACUCCAUUUCACAUAUAUCUGAUAGCAAUAUCAAAGUGUUAACUGUUGAUGACUCAGAGAUCUUAACUGCUAGUGUAUUUGGUGAUCUUGUGUCAGAUCUAAUCAAAUGGGUGUUAAGAGCAAUAUUUAGCUCAUCGGAGGAGGAGUACCUGAAGAGGUACUUUGUGCAUUGCCUUUUAUUCUGUUCCCCCCUAUUUUGUUCUUGUUCUCGCCCUAGCACCCCUCUUGGAGCCUGCUUUGUGGUAAUUGCUGCGGCUGCAAGAAGCACAACUGCUGUUGCAGCAAUCACCACAAAUUCUUCUAUUUGUUUUCCAUUUGGAUAGUUUACUUUCUUAUUUUUUUACUCCUUUUCUUUGGUAUCUAAGAGGGUCUUCCAUUUUUCCUUGCAUUUUUUAGGGUUACGGACGUGUGGAGUGCCUAUGCAGCCUGUGUUGACAACCAGGAAAAGUAUUGAAGCCAGUUAAGCAAAGCAACCUUAACUUACUGCGCACCUUGUCACCUUCACUUAUUUCUUUUCGUCAUAGCAGAUCUUUAACACUAGUGACAGACUAUUAGACCAGUGAAGCAGACUGACCCCUGCGAGCCACUCUGCCUUGCAAUUGCUUAUUUUUGGCAUGGCAGAUCUUUAACACUAGUGCAGCUGUAGGAUCCGUUAACUUGCUGCAUGGAUUAUGAGUAUUAACCUAUUAUUUUUUGUUAACAUGCUGUAUUCUUGUAUGCACUAUGUUUCUUGGGCAUCUUGGCCUGAUGCUUGCUGCUACUUAAGCUCUGGUGCUUGGUUGACAAGAUUAUUUAGAUUUCAUAAUAAUUGCUGUAUUCAUCCCUCCCAAGUUACUAUUGGAUAGCUCUAGAAUCUCAGAGUAGAGACGCUGAAUAUUUCAAUUGGAAUUCGGCUGUGCCAACAAAUUUGUCAAUGCUUCCAAGUGUGCCAACAAAUAUGAAGGCAUUCGUGUCGAAUUCCAAUCCAAAUCUGUAAGAUUUGCUAUGGUCAUUAGGAUCCAACCACAGAAUUUGUCUCUAUACAGAGAAAGAAUGCAAACUCUUUAGCCUACCGAAGAGGGAAGAGUUCCUGUGAAAUAAUUAUCACUAAGAUCAAGAUUAUGUAAGCUGAUAAAAUUACCUAUAUCUUUAGGUAUGUUGCCUCUUGCCUGGAACUUCAUCGACUGAAAUAGAUAGAAAUGUUUGAAUUAAAACAUCGGAAAAUCUGUGCACCCUCCCAUGGCCACACGGAUGCCUCCAAGGAGAGCAUUUGUGCUCAUGUUCAGCAUCUAAUGCCUGCUGAGUUGACCGAGCUCCUGAGGUAUCUGCCCAACAAAUUGGUUGACAAAUGAAGAUCCGUUUGGAUCCUGUUUGUUGGGUGAAGAAACUCCUCCUCCCUCUACUGACACUUAUGAGACCAUGGAGAAGAAUAAGAAGCAAAGGCACAACAGGAAAAUGAAGAAUGAGGAGAUAUCGAAUCCUAUGCCUGAGCCAUUGGACCCUGAGUCACCACCAGGAGUAGAGCUUCCACAGUGGUACUGCCCUAUUCUUAAUCCAUCGGAUGAACUGUGUCACUACCUCGAAAACAAGGUGAUUUGUUACAUUUGCAUUGCUUGUUUGUUAGCUUAGCACUGCUUGUCUGAGUUUAGAGAGUUGGUUCAGAUCUAGGUUCUUAGGAGGCCAACAAAAGAGAAUGUCAAAACUGAGUAGUUAAUAUCAGAUAUAAAGAGUAUUUAGACUAAUAUGGUUGGCCCUUAUUUCGGUUCAAUGUGAAACACUUCCCAUAUACUUUGCAAGGCUCAAAAAUGAUCUCCCGAAGGGUGUCGAAAGUUUUAUUGGAUCAAAAUGGUAUUUAGAUUACCUUCUCUACCACCCAGCAUUUGCUUCACCAUCAGCAAGACACAAUUUUAUACUUGAAAUACAUUUAGUUUCGAAAUACUUUCGUUUCAAGAACAGUUCGCUCUUAAUGAAUCUUUUUACAGAGGUACCCAAAUAGAUUUGGUGUGAGGAUGCUUAUGAGUAUCCUAUUCUUAGCAGAACCAUAAACUAUAGAAAGAAUCUCAAGAAAAAUCUGACGGUGUGCAAUAAGGAAAAGAAGGUGAGAAUAACAACUAAACUAGGUAAUGAGAUAGAAUGGGAAAGCUACAGCAAACCACACAGAGUUAUUGUGCAUCAUGUGGCUGUUCAAUCUGAUACCAUUUCAGAUCAACUGAAAAGCGGAUGUUAGAGAUGAGAUGGCUGUUGGAGUUGGAGAUGAGGUUGCUGUCGGAGAUGAUCAGGUGACUGUUGGAGUUGGAGAUGAGGUUGCUGCUGGUGUUGAUGAGGUGGGUGUUCGGAGAAAGACAGUAAGAAAAAUAAUGAUGAUGAUAAGAUGAGCGUUGGGGAGAAAGACAAUAAGGACAAUGAUGAUGAUGAUGAUGAUGAUGAUGAUGAUGAUGAUGAUGAUGAUGAUGGUGACGACUAUAAAGAGGAAAUGUUAGAUUUGGUGCGGUUCAUUAACAACUCCAUUUUACAUAUACCUGAUAGCAACAUCAAAGUGUUAACUCUUGAUGACCCGAAAAUUUAAGUGUUAGUGUAUUUUGUGAUAUUGUGUCUAAUCUAAUCAAAUGGGUGUUAAUAGAAAUAUUUAGCUCGUCGGAGGAGGAGUACCUGAUGAGGUACUAUUUGCGUUGACUUUUAUUUUGUUUCCCCACUAAUUUUUUCUUGUUCUUACCAUAGCCUCCCAGUUGGAGCCUGCUUUGUGGUGAUGGCUGCAGCUGCAGCAAGCACAACUGCUAUUGCAGCAAUCACCACCAAUUCUUCUAUUUGUUUUCUAUUUGGAUAGUUUACUUUCUAAUUUUUUACUCCUUUUCUUUGGUAUCUAUUACUCUUCCAUUUUUCCUGGCAUUUUACAGGGUUACGGACGUGUGGAGUGCCUAUGCAGCCUGUGUUGACAACCAAGAAAAGUAUUGAAGCCAGUUAAGCAAAGCAGCCUUCACUUAUUGCGCACCUCGUCGUCUUCACUUAUUUCUUUUUGUCAUAGUAGAUCUUUAACUCUAGUGAUAGACUGUUAGACCAGUAAAGCAUACUGACCCUUGCGAGCCUUUCUACCUUGCAAUUGCUUAUUUUUGGCAUGGCAGAUCAUUAGCACUAGCGCACCUGUGGGAUUUGUUAACCUGCUGCAUGGAUUAUGAGUGUUAACAAAUUCUUUGUUGUUAACCCGCUAUAUUGCUGUAUGCACUAUGUUUCUUGGGCAUCUUGGCCUGAUGCUUGCUGCUACUUAAGCUUUGGUGCUUGGCUGACAAGAUUAUUUAGAUUUCAUAAUACUUGCUGUAUUGAUCCCUCCCAAGUUACUAUUGGAUAGCUCUAGGACCUCAGAGUAGAGACGCUGAAUAUUUCAAUUGGAAUUCGGCUGUGCCUUUAAAUCUGUCAAUGCUUCCAAGUGUGCCAACAAAUCACAAGGCAUUCAUGUCGAAAUCCAAUUCAAAUUUCUAAGAUUUGCUAUGAUCAUUAGGAUCGAACCACAGAAUUUGUCUCUAUAUAGAGAAAUAAUGCAAACUCUUAAGCUUACUAAGGUGGGAAGAGUUCCUGUGAAAUAAUUAUCACUAAGAUCAAGAUUAUGUAAGCUGAUGAAAUUACUUAUAUCUUGUUAUAUGUUGCCUUCUACCUGGAACUUCAUCGAUUGAAAUAGAUAGAAAUGCUUGAAUUGAAAGAUCGAAAAAUUGGUGGACCCUCAUAUGGCUGCAGGGAUGCUUCCACGGAGAGCAUUUGUGCUCAGGUUCAGCAUCCGAAGCCAGCUGAGUUGACCGAGCUUCUGAGGUAUCUGCCCUACAAAAUGGUUGAUAAAUGAAGAUCCGUUUGGAUCCUGUUUGUUGGGUGAAGAAACUCCCCCUUCCUCUACUGACACUUAUGAGACCAUGGAGAAGAAUAAGAAGCAAAGGCAGAACAGGAAAAGAAAGA
Molecule: long non-coding RNA, 47307 nt
Filed under: Setaria italica (foxtail millet)
Lineage: Eukaryota; Viridiplantae; Streptophyta; Magnoliopsida; Poales; Poaceae
Description: long non-coding RNA (SITA_LNC007094)
Source: RNAcentral